RNAcentral lists this long non-coding RNA (52135 nucleotides) under Setaria viridis. RNAcentral describes it as "long non-coding RNA (SVIR_LNC003601)". The record is from RNAcentral. Lineage: Eukaryota; Viridiplantae; Streptophyta; Magnoliopsida; Poales; Poaceae.
UCGUCCCGGCCGCCGUUCCUCGGCACCAUGCCCACCAACCUCAACGACGUGCUGGUCCAGAACAAGCGCUGGAUGUCUGGCCUCCUCGCCGUCGGCCUCUCUAGGCGCUACUGCCCGCUCGCCUGCCGGGGGCUCCUCGCCGUCUCCGUGCCGCAGGCCAUGACCUACGCCCACUUCGGCUUCCUUUCUCUCUACGCGUUCCCGGCGCUGUGCUACGCCACCCUGCCGCAGCUCUGCUUCCUCCGCGGCGUCCCUCUGUUCCCGGACGCCGCCGCCGCCCCGUGGUUCGCCGCCGCCUUCGCAUCCUCCUUGGUGCAGCACCUGGUCGAGGUGUCGGUGGCGAGGCGCGGGCUGGCAGUGCGGACGUGGUGGAACGAGCAGAGGUUCUGGAUGCUCAACGCCGUCACCGCCCAGCUGUUCGGCUGCGUCAGCGCCGUCCAGGACCUCGUCGGCGCCGCCGCGCUGCGCUUCGACCUCACCAGCAAGGCCGACGACGAUGAUGGCGGCAGGCUGUACCAGAAGGGCGUGUUCGACUUCACGGGGUGCUCCACGCUGCUGCUCCCGGCCACCACCCUCUGCGCCCUCAACGCCGCGGCGCUGGUCGGGGGCACCUGGAAAAUGAUGACCGGAGGCGGCGGCGGCUUGUCCGGCGAGAUGUUGCCGCAGCUGUUUCUCCUGAGCUACGUGGCGGCGCUGAGCUACCCGCUGCUGGAGGGGAUGUUCCUCCGGAUGGACUCCGCAAGGGUUCCAGGGCGCAUCACCGCACUCUCAGUCGCCUUGGCCGCGGUGCUGCUCUCCCUGUUUGGAUAGGGACGGCACCCCCUCGUCUGCCAUUAUAUUCGUCAAGACGAUGGAGUGCAAAAAGCUAGAAGUACGUGGACAUGGCGAACCGUACAAGCUAUGGCCUCGUUCACGUAGCUGUGUAAUGCAAACUCGAGUGUUGUUGAGUCUGCUGGCACUCUGAGUGCCAUCAGGCACGGAAACACUAGAUUUGAGUCCUUCUCUCUUUUUUGCGUUUUUCUUCUCUGCAGCAGCAUGCCCGCAAGAAACACGACAACACGUCACAAGUCUAUCCUGCAUUACCCGGCCAUCAAACUCUGACCUCUUCGCUCGUUCCUUCGUAGAUCCUCCAUCAUCCAUCUUAAUUGGGAUCAUACUCUGGCUCGUGGCUCCGAGCUUGCGCCAUUGGUAGGCCACUGCGUUCACGCCGUCUGCCACCUUGUGGCCUUGCCAAAGCGUCUUUGGUUGUCAACUGACACGGCAAGCAGAGCAGCGACCAGCGAGCAUGAGCACGUACGUAUCUCCGUAGACCAGUGCUAGCGUGCCCAGCUUACCUUGUGGCCAUUGUGCUUUCCUUCAUCUUGUCAUGUAGGACCUAGGACGCAGCAUCGAAGUUCCCCAUGCAGCUGUGUAGCAAACACUAGUAAAGGCAAAGUAACCUAACAAUUAGUUGAUUAUAUCCAGUUUCUUCGUUUCAAAAAAAGAAUAUAUCCAGUUUCGGUUUAAGUGUAAACCAUUGCACAAUAGACUAAAUGAAGCAAUUUAUUGGGGCCACACAUGAAUUUUAGGGCAGCACAACGGAGUGCUAGAAUCGACUAAUAAUUAUGUUAUUUGUGUAUAUUUUGAGAAAAUAGUAUGCUAUGAUAGUCAAUUUUGAAGACAACUUAGAUUUUACGGUAGUAUAUUAUAUUUUACUAUCAUAUUUUUCGCAUAUAUAUUGUUGUGUCAUGAGCCUUACAGCUUGGCCCUAGUCUUGGUGAAAACCUAGGUCCGCCACUGCCCCCAACCAUGCCACCUCCAACCAUCGGACCACGCUGCCGACCUCGCCGCCACCAGCCCUCAACUCUCUACCUCCCCGACCACCGCCACCGGCCCUAGCUGCCCUCCUAUGCUCCAACGUGCGCUGUCCCACUCUUGCCGCCAUGCGGACUGCGACCCCUCCCCCCCCCCUCCCCCCCCCCCCCCGCUAUACGCCAUCCCACCCCUGCUAUACGCCAUCCCACCCCGCUGUGCGGCGACGCGCCCCCUGGCUACCUCGCUACCACCUCGAUGCAGCACCCGCCUUGCCUGGCCAUCAUGGAUCGCGCUCCCUUGAGCGGCCUUGCACUCAUCCCGCCACCACGCCAUCUCCGGCCAUCAAACCUUGCCUCCAAGCUCAUCGCCGCCUGCCUUCACCCUUCCACCUCGUUGGCGCUAAAAGUCAGCCGAUUGACCCUCAGCGUCGGACACACGACCCGGGAGAAUCUGCUUAGCUCCUGUUCAGGUGAUCGCCCUGGUGCGGUUCGCGCGGCGUGCCAGCCAAUCUGACUUGUUCAUUGGCAAGGAAGAAAACGUGUCAAAUUCCAAGGGUUCCAAUCGGCUAAGGUUCCGAUCUCGAAAAGCGUAUCAGCGAAUCGGCCGAUUUGCUAUCUAAAGAUAAUCGGCUAUGAUACAGCCGACAAUCACAUAGCGAUUGCGAAGAAAACUACUAGAGUAAACUAGACAAAGCUACAAAAGCAACACUUGAAAUAGAUCUAAUCGGCUAUGCGAUAAUGAUGAAUAAAAAGUAACAAAAAUAGAGCCGAUAGUUCAAAUCUCAAGCUGGAUAACUGGUGAUAAAACUAGAACAAUCGAUAAAACCUAUAAUUCUAGUAAAUAUCGAUAACUGGUGAAUAAAUCUAAAUGAAACAACAGCGAUGCGCCCGAAGUUAAAGCUUAGAUAUCACUUGAUAAAUGGAACUUAAAGAAUCAGCCGGAGAUCGUGUCGAUGCAGCACUGCCAACCCGUACGAACUCGUGAAAGAAGAAAAGUAUUGGCAAAGUCGCCGACUUGAAAGUAAAGUACGAUGAAAAAGUAGAUUUGUUUGAUUGAUUGAUGUGUUCUUUACAAAUCUCUGAGGAUGGCUAUUUAUAGCCUGUUACAACCAAUUUCCUAACCGACUAGGAUCUAUCUCUAAUCUUAAACAAAAACGAAUAUUUACAAACACAACUCGUAUCAGACUUGGUUAUUAUACUCCCGCGGGCCAAUCUUUCUCUAUCUUCUUUCUCUGAUCCACUUUAAGCCUAUAUUGGCCCAAUCGCUCCAACUUUCUAGUCGGCCGAUCUCCACCAACUCCGUCCGCCAAAACACUGUAGCGCCAAUCGGCCGAUCCCCACCUGUAGCACCAAUCGGCCGAUUCCCAGUCGUGGCCUUUUAAUCUGCCGCAUCAGCCAAUUCUUUCUUCCCUUGACGCCGAUUCCAUAUGUGUCAAAAUCUGGUGUCAACACAUGCCCCCUAGUUUUGGAGUAAAAUAUAACUUUUACUUCGAAAUUCUUUUUUAACCUCUCCUCCGAAACAAACGCAUCAAAAAUCUCCUUCGGUUUCGCGGUCUCCUACCUAAUGAUUGCAAUCUUUUCGAAAUGGGUGCCUGAGACAACCACUUCCCCGAAAUUCGUGUAGACGGCGCGGUAAAAUCCCACCUUUACCCCUUCUCUCGGACCGUCUUUAAAUACUAGCACGCCCUGCACUUCUUGUUCACAAGCUAGUAACUUCGUUUCCGGCGCAUUAGUUUCCAUCUUCUUCCGACGCUCUUUUGGCUUCCAACCGCAUCCUCCGGCGAUCCCCUUUUCAUCCGCAUUCCGCUCCAUCUUCCCAAUGGCGGCACCAUCAACAACUCCACCAGCAACGGAGGCUCCGCCGACAACUCCAUCAAUGGCGGCAGCAACUCCAUCGACGACGGAGGCUCCACCGGCAGCUUCAUCAGUGGCGACAGCUCCACCAGCAGCCCCGUCGGCAACGAUGACCUUCAUUCCAGAGGUACUCAUCUGGAACUUUUCUUUUUACUUUUACCGUCCAUGCAUCUUUUUAGAUCCGUUCUUAGUUCUUCCCUUUUUUCUUUUUUAGGCAGUCAGACACCAAAUAACCAUCCGUCUUUCGGAAGCUCCUGGUCUGAUCUAUUUAGGCCCUAUGGGGAACCCAGACCCAACCGACCGGAUCAACUUGGAAAGAGUGGUACCAAAGAAUAGCCAACUCCAAGAGAGUUCAAUGGGAUGAGCAAAAAAUCGGCCAGUGCAUCAAUCUUUCUGUGUCCCAGAUGGAAAGAAAUGAACCCUUGGUCAUAGCAGCCUCCUACUUCUGGUCCGACUCUCUCAACGUGUUCCUUUUCGGACAUGGGCCCAUGACCCCCACUCUGGCUGAUGUUGUGAUGUUGACCGGCCUUGACAUUUCUUCCCCCGAUACCCCCUUCCAUUAUCUGGUCAAGCCGACCCAUCGGCUGGAAACAAAAGGAAUCGGCGGGUGGAAGGGGUACAUAAAGAACAAUAUGAAGACCGGGACAGUUUCAGAGAGAGAAUACGCGGCCUUCUUGAUGAUGUGGCUAGAGAAAUAUCUUUUCUGCGGCAGAGCAGUCGGCCCUUCUUCCAAUACACAAGCUCUGGCCGAAGCAUUAUCAAGAGGAGCCUUCAUUCCUCUCGGGAAGCAUCUACUAGGAUCGGCCUAUCAUAUGUUGCACCAAAUCGGCGUCAAACUAUCCAAGGGGGAGUCGAUUGGAAAUCCAGGUGGCCCCUGGUGGUUCAUCAAUCUCUGGCUCAAUUUGCAUAUGAGCAAGAUCUCACAGCAGCGGGUAGAGCACAUGACAUUCCCCAAUAUUGAGUCAGAAGAAAACCCCACUGUACGGCGCCGAUGCACCUCCUUCAGCGAAGCAGUGUCAAUCUUCUCCGGUUGCCAGCUCACCGCUACUAAAGUAGCCGAAUACUUCCAAUGUUUUUACAACGGCUUUAGUGAAGAAACCACCAGCUGGUACCCGUACCAGAGAUCAGAGCUGCUUUUUGAGCUCCCCUUUUGUUAUGACUCGACAUCCAACACCUUUGACAAUGAUCUCAUGGACGUCUUGAUCAAGCCAGGGAUCUUACCUACGAACUUUUUCUCAAGGAAGGAUGCCCCUACUUAUGAGUUUUACAAUCCAUCAGUUGCGGCACGGCUAUUCGGCUUAGGUCAACUGCCGAUUCAAGUCUACUUCGCUGGCCGCGUGAAAUUCCGGACGAGCUCACGAAGGGUCUUGACUACAGUCGGCUGUGCGACAAGGUACCCGAUUCCAGCACCAUUGAUUUGAAUAACUGGAUAGUAGCUCCUUUUGCUGUCCAACCAUUCAAAUCAUGGUGGGCAGAAUGGAAGCAGCAUCUAUUUUGUGCGUCUCCCGUGACAUAUUGCAAUGAUCUGGAUCCUGAGAACAUCGACCCAACUGUAGCGGUACUGCUUUUCCCUCAGCCGAUUUCGAUGUCAUUUUCGUUCUUAUGCUACAAAUUUUGUUGCUAACUCUUACUUUCUUUUGCAGUCUGAGAGUCGACCUCCUCCAAAGCGCAGCCAGAGUGGUAGGUCGAUAGAGAAUCGCUACCCAUAUACGGAAUUCCCACUCAUCGGCCAUCAUGCCCCAACCAUUGAUGACAUCACCAUUGGCCGAUUGAAACAGACGCCGAAGAAAACUUUAAAGAAGACGAGCCGCCGAGUGCGUGCCCGCACGGAAUCGGCCGAUCAGUCGGCAGCGGCAUCGGCUGAAUCUUUGGUUGCGCCGAUUCUUCCAGUCAUCGAAGAAGUUGACCCCCAAGCUGCUACAGAAGCUGACACGGCCGUUGCAUCAUUGCUAUUAGAAGCUGUCCAGGUAACCUUGCACUCAUGCCUUUCUAAGUAUUCUUCCGAUAUUAACUUCUUUCUAUCAGGCUGCACAAAUCACCCCAGGGCAACCUCCGCAGCAAUCGGCCACACCCCAAGCAGAAAUUGGAGCGCCAGUAAUUCCUCCCACCGAGGUAAAGAAUCCCUUAACUCAAUUUUUUGAUACUUAAUCAAAAGCUUGACCAUUUCUGAUGCAGGCUACCCUUGGUACGUCAAUUGUACCUUUCCAACAGCCAUCGGCCAGGGAACCCACGGAGGUAUGGCAAUCACCACAUGUCAUCAGACCUAAUCAUUUGUAUUAUACUCAUAAGAAUUUCCCCUCGUACCUUUCCAGGAGGUCGGUCCGAGUAGGGGACCAAUAAUCGUCGAAUCCUCCUCCUCUGAUAAGCUGGUCGCACCAGUUCCUGAACCGAGGGCAGCACUCCCACCGGCGCAAGCAGAAGAAAUGCGCUUCAAAGAGGUAAGAGACUCAUCACCCAAAUCGGCCGAUUUCCUAUUGCCGUCGGCUAAUAUGUAUUUAUUAUUUUUUACUCUUUCACAGGAAAAGGAUACUCCCAACAACAGCCUUUUCUCUUUCGCAGUCGCCCUUUCUGAUGACGAGGAGGUUGCUUCACGUCAAGUCACUCUGAGCUCAAUCCCCGAUGACGUCCGUGCCAAGCUCGAGAGCAUACGGACCCUCCUCCAAGAUGAUAUUGGCUGAUUGGUGGAGGACGCCUCGCCGAUUCGGCAGCUCUUUAGCGAUAUUAGAGGCCGAGUCCCAGAAGAGGCGGAGGAAGCUCUGACGCCAGCCGCAUACAUUGAAUCAAUGCGGAUCCCAGUGUUUAGAGCUUUGCGCCACAUGGCCGAUCGCGCCAAGCUGGCUAAAGCUCGCGAGGAAGAAGAUUCCUAUGAACAUCGAGCCCAAGAGGUACAUCAUCAAAUCAACUUUCUCGAAAGCUCCCGCCCGGAUAUUGUUGGUGCUAUAGAUCGCCUUAAACGCCGAAGGGCAGAGCUCGCCAAGAAGAUGGAGCAGGUGACCAAGGAAAUAGCCAUUGAAGAGAAAAGACUCCAAGACCUCCCUUCUGUCAUCGCCGAGCUGAAGCAGGAGAGACAAAGUCUGGCCCACGAAGCAAUCAAGCUCCAUCGCUACACGCCAGAAGUCCCAGGAUCGGCCAACGACGACCAGCGAACUUUAGACUCGGCCGAUCAGGUUAGGCAGCGAACGAUUACGGCUAUUAAUGCCCUCCUUGGAUGAACUGUAAGAGUACUGGCCGCUAUGUAAAAACAUUAAUGUCUUUUGACCGUUUGACAUGUGAAUCCAAUCUUGACCCGUCCUUCGUGGCGGCCUUUCAUUUAUUACCCCUUUUACUCCGAUGGGACGCGUCCUACCAAACUCUCGCCCUUAUCCUUCUAUAAGUAUGAAGCCCCGUAUUGUUUCCAAAGGCAUUCGCAUUGCUUGUCUUCUUUUCCUCUAGUAGUUCAUACCAUCGGACUAUUCACUGAGAUGUCUUCUUCGUCUUCCUCCUUCUCUUCCUUUUCUGUCAACCAGGUACGAAAUCUUCUUCCGUUCUCCAUUCCCCCAUCUAACAUCUUGAUCGAUCUAACGUCGAGCGGUUAUUUGUUGAUUCUCAACCGAGACACCUUAGUCCUGAACUGGAACGGGCGAUCAAAAUCAUGCACUCCGAUGAACCGCUGCCACAGGCGGACAAAGAUCUGAUCAGAGCUCAUCGCGAAGAACUCAUGGAUCACGUUCCUGCUGAAGUUCAGAAGAUCUGGGAUGACAUCGACGCCAACUGCUCCAGGCGGCCGACAGUCGAAAGGAGUCAUCCACUUCCUCGCCCAGUCGCCCUCGAAGACGCUGCAGCGGGAACAUCUCAAUCGCCACUUGACCGGAGCCACCCCUUCCUCGUCAAGUUGAGGCCAAAGCCGCGAUGGACUUGGAGGAAAAGAGCAUCCGCCUCUUGAUAGAAUUAGGUCAGGUAGAGAGGGAGAUUAAGAAAAAGCAUGGUCAAUAGAUGCGUUGGUACUUUUUGUUCUAAGGGCGACUUGUACCAUGUCGGCCAUGUACCCCGUCGUUUGUAUCGAAUAAUAAAUCGGCCAGAUCAGACGAAUGUUUCGUUCUUAAGGCGAUGUUAUCUUUGCAUCGGCUGAUCUAAUAGGAGUUGGCCGCGCCAUCUCGAUACACUCCACCAUUAGUUAUGCAUCGACCCAUAUACUAGGAUAGUACCUCUUCAGAUAUCUUCCGUUCAAGGCCCUUGUGAACUCCUCUCCUUCGAUCAUUUCCAGUAUAUAUGCAUUUCCUGGGGCGCAUCGGCCGAUUUUAUACAGCCCUUCCCAAGUGGGCGACCAUUUACCGAACUUAGGAUCCUUGGACCGUAUUGCCUUCGAAGUCCUUAAGCAUCAUGUCCAUCUUGGUUAGAUCUUCGUUGCUUUUACCCAGUUUUCGGAACAUGGCGUAUGGCAUGAUGUUGACUGCAGCGCCUCCAUCUACUAGUAGCCUGGUGACAGGUCGACCGUUGACGUGUCCUUUGAGGAACAGUGCCUUGAGGUGUUGCCGUUUUUCAUCUUCGGGUUUCUCAAAAGUGGCUGUCAUUGGCUCCAAAGCCAAUUGUGCCAUUUGUUCCUCCAUCUUCGUUGUGUCGUACCGAUCGGUGGGAGCCAUGAACUCCAUCAACAAGAUGAACACCAUGCUGACGUCAGCUGCCGAUUCCUGGUUGCCAUCUUCCUCAUUGUUGUUUCUUUUGGGGCGCUAGACUCGAGACCUGUCAUCCUUCUUAUCCAUCAUCUGCCUCUGCUCUUCUUCCUGUUGUUCCCAUUGGCGCAGGCGUUGGAUCCUUCAUUUUUGGGAUUUGGUCAAUCCAUCAGGGCACCACCUGGGGUUCAUCGGUUUGGCCGGCGGUCUAGUGCGCUCCCAGUCUGGUUCUCGUCCUAGGGGGUUUUCAUCUGACACCCUGGCAUCGGCCAUCUCCUCUAGCCGAUCGUGUGCGCUGACUCUACCCCCCGGUCGGUCAUGCUAGUCGGAUCUACCCCCGGCCGAUCAUACUGUUCACGUCUGCCCCUUGGCCGAUCAUACCGGUCAACUCUGCCCCCCAACCGAUCACGCACUGAAAGGCGCCGAUCCUCUUGCUCGCGCCAGUUUCUGCUGAUUGGCUCUGAUCCUCUGCCCCUGGAGCGGGACCUCUAGAAUGGAUGAUUAUCAUGAUAUGGACCGCUGCACUCUGGGCAAUUAUCAACUAAUGGCAACCUGAGGUUAUUUUCCCAGCAAUGGAUGAAGAAUGGGCAUCGCCAAUGAUCCUCAUGUCGCCGCAUUAUUUCUUCGCGAUAUCUCGAACUUUCCUGCUGCCGCUGAUAUUUGUUGAGCAAGAACUGGGAAGUAAUAGGUCUGUGCGACCUUUCCGAUCCUUCACCCUCAUCGUCAACCCGUCUCUUCCCCUUGACAUCUUCCGCAGUAGCCUGAUUUCUGAGGUCCACAGCCCCGCUUUUCUUGGCCAAUUCCGACGUUAGCACUUUGGUUUGCAGCGCGUUCCUUCCCGUAUCAACCAUGUUAGUAGGGAAAGGAUGCUGAUCAAUCUUCAUUAGCUUCGCUGGCUUUGUCGGGACCUCGAACUUGAGCCUGCCUUGUUCGAUGGCCGAUUGUAUCUACUGACGGAAGAUCUUGCAUUCGUUUGUGUCGUGGGACGUGGCAUUGUGCCAUUUGCAAUACUUCAUCUUUUUUAGCUGCUCGGCCGAUGGGAUUGUAUGAUAAGGUGAGAGUUUGAUCUGCCCCUCUUGGAGAAGUAGGUCGAAGAUUUUGUCGGCCUUUGAUGUGUCAAAAUUGAACGCCUCCGGUUCCUUUUUCCCGAAAGGACACGAUAUCGGCUUCUUACCCUUAACUCAUUCUGCUAGACUGAUUUCUGCUUCUUCGUCAGAUUCAGAUCCCUCCAGGUACACCACCUUUUUCUAAAAAUUUCUCCACUGAUCAAAAGGGUGUGCUUCCUGACCGGCCAAUCGGUGAACGAUCUGACUCAGGCUCUCGAACUCCUGGGAAGCGUACUUCUCUUUGAUGUGUGGCAGGAGACCUUGGAAGGCGAUAUCGGCCAGCUGCGCGUCGGUCAGGACUAGGGUGUAGCAUUUGUUUCUGAUUUCUCUGAACCACUGCACAUAAUUGUUCACUGGCGUAUCGCUCCUCAGCCUGAGGCUAGUCAAAUUUGAGAGCUUCAUCUCGUGGAUUCCCACGUAGAAGUAUUUGUGAAACUAUUUUUCCAGGUCGGCCCAGGUGAUGAUGGAAUUGGGCGGCAGCGUAGUGAACCACUAGAAAGCCGACCCGGACAGGGACGAUGAGAAUAGAUGCACCCGCAGAGCAUCCUGUGUAGCCGCCUUCCCGCAUUGGAUGAUGAAUCUGUUUACGUGUUCCACAGUUGAGGUGUCAUCCAGCCCCGAAAACUUAGUGAAGUCGGGAACUUUGUACCGAUGAGGAAACGGCAGUAGAUCAUAGGCGGGCGGGUAUGGCGUUUUGUACGUGUAAGUUUGUACCUUUGGCUUCAACCCGAAUUGAUCUUGAAUCACCUCCGCUAUCCUUGUCGUCCAGUCUACUUGCUGCUGAUGAAUUACUGGCUAGGGAAUCGGCACAUGUUGGUGGAUCGGCGGCGGGAUGACCGGGUGAUGAAUCAAAGCGUGCGGCGGAUUCUGCGGCAACGUGGUCGGCUGAGCGGUUGGCAUUUGAUGGCGCAGCGAACAGGUCAUCUCAUUGUACAGUAUCAUCGGCGCCGCACCUCGGAGUGCCUCAGUAGCGUAUGCCCUCCUGCCGAUUUCUGACGUGGCCGGUUGAUACUGUGGACCCGUCGGCCGGGUGGCCGAUAGGAAUGGUGCCUGGAUCGGAGAGCCUCCAUAGCCGGCCGAUUGAUCCAGAACGGCCGCUGUCGACGGUGCCCCCCAAGGCACUAAGUUUGAUGGCAAUGAUUGCACGGAGGGAACUUGAGCAGGCUGCAGCGGUGCUUGUGAUUGAAAGUAUGGCGCACCGUUGUAUCCUGGAUGCAUUGAAGGCAGUGAAGUGUUGUGUCCUCCAUGCUGUGUCGGCAUCGACUGAGGAGCCGAUUGCGACGUGCCCGGUAAGCUCUUGAUUGGUGGGGCAUACGCCGGCCCCUGAUAUCCUUGAGACACGCCGUUGGCCAGGGAGUUGAUGAUAGCAUUGUACACCGUGUUGGCCAUCACUGGGGAUUGAUCGAUGAAGGCCUGAUAGACAGACUGUUGGAUCAUGUCGGACAUCUUGGCUGAAUCCUCCGCGAUGGUGAUCUGGCGGGGAGUUGGGAAAGGAGCUUUCUUGACGGUCUCCCCGCUUCUGGUACGACUGAAAGAUUGCAAGCAUGUUUUCCGGUAUUGUUCUAUUUGCUUUGCCAACUCUUUUUUCUGGUCGUCCUUGAGAUUUGCUUUCGUCACUUCGAUGACGUUGUCUUUGGAGAUUUAAGCAGCUUUCGACAUAUUGAAGGUUGAAGUGAUCCCACUGGGCGUGCCAAAAGUGUGUUGGCGCUAAAAGUUAGCCGAUUGACCCUCCGCGUCGAACACACGACCCGGGAUAAUCUGCUUAGCUCCUGUUCGGGUGAUCGCACUGCUGCGGUUCGCGCGGCGUGCCAGCCAAUCUGACCUGUUGAUUGGCAAGGAAGAAAACGUGUCAAAUUCCAAGGGUUCCGAUCGGCUAAGAUUCCAAUCUCGAAAAGCGUAUCAGCGAAUCGGCCGAUUUGCUAUAUAAAGAUAAUCGGCUAUGAUACGGCCGACAAUCACGUAGCGAUUGCGAAGAAAACUACUAGAGUAAACUAGACAAAGCUACGAAAGCAACACUUGAAAUAGAUCUAAUCGGCUAUGCGAUAAUGAUGAAUAAAAAGUAACAAAAAUAGAGCCAAUAGUUCAAAUCUCAAGCUGGAUAACUGGUGAUAAAACUAGAACAAUCGAUAAAACCUAUAAUUCUAGUAAAUAUCGAUAACUGGUGAAUAAAUCUAAACGAAACAACAGCGAUGCGCCCGAAGUUAAAGCUUAGAUAUUACUCGAUAAACGGAACUUACAGAAUCGGCCGGAGAUCGUGUCGAUGCAGCCCUACCAACCCGUACGAACUCGUGAAAGAAAAAAAGUAUUGGCGAAGUCGCCGACUUGAAAGUAAAGUACGAUGAAAAAGUAGAUUUGUUUGAUUGAUUGAUGUGUUCUUUACAAAUCUCUGAGGAUGGCUAUUUAUAUCCUGUUACAACCAAUUUCCUAACCGACUAGGAUCUAUCUCUAAUCUUACACAAAAAUGAAUAUUUACAAACACAACUCGUAUCGGAGUUGGUUAUUAUACUCCCGCGGGCCAAUCUUUCUCUAUCUUCUUUCUCUGAUCCACUUUAAGCCCACAUUGGCUCAAUCGCUCCAACCUUUCAGUCGGCCGAUCUCCAACAACUCUGUCCGCCAAAACACUGUAGCGCCAAUCGGCCGAUCCCCAAUUGUAGCACCAAUCGGCCGAUUCCCAGUCGUGGCCUUUUAAUCUGCCGCAUCGGCCAAUUCUUUCUUCCCUUGACGCCAAUUCCAUAUGUGUCAAAAUCUGGCAUCAACACACCUACUGCGACCCCACGCUGUGCGGCCAGCCACCAGCCGCACCACCCACCAUGAGUUGCCAGCUACGCUGCACUACCCGCCGUGGCCCCACACAGUGCCGCCCACACGCAAUCUCAAGCUGCGCCACCUUGAAUCCUAGCCGUGCGCGUCAAAGCAAGAUUCAGAGAGGGGGAGUAUGCAGGAGAGAGGGGGAUUGAGGAAGAACAUAGAGGGUACUGGGCAUUUUGUGGAUUAGUCCCUGAAAAUAAUCACCAUUCAUGAAGUAGUUUAAUUUUAGGUAUGCUGUUUGAAAUUUUUUUCGUGAAAAUCUUCAUUCUCCUGUUUGAAGUGUGUUGAGUUAAAAAUAGCAACCGUGCAUUUUACUAUCCAAACAAUUCAUUUUGUCAGUUUGACCCGUAUACAAAUCGAUUUGCUCUCGUGCCUUCACACUAGUCCACCUCACUCCCUAAUAAAAUUUGUUUUAUUUAUUUCUCCUGGCACGAGUAGUGUUCUAGGUUCAAAUUUCAUGACAUGUUACACGACAUUGUUGAAACCCAUAUGUUCGAAAAAAUAUUUUGAUGCUUUUUUAUUAUUUUUUCAUGCAUUUACAAUUUCAAGGUAUAAAGUAGUAUCAAAUGCGUGCUCCCAACCGAUGUAAAUAACCAUGAAAACUUCUGAAAUAUGCUUAUAACAUAUAUAUUAGAACCCAAAAGACAACUUGCAGGAUGAGAGACAAAAAAGAAGAAGAAGAAGGAAUCCCAUUAGAGGUGAAUUGGAUCAAUUUAAUUGUUUUGGGACUACAUUGAGUCAAUACUUUAUGGAUGAGUCAAAUGGAUAAAGUGAUUAGGGAUGUAAAAUUUGAAAACAGUCAAUGGUUUGGACUUAAUUAUUUGUCGUCUAAUGUGGCAUUUUAAUGGAGUAUGCUGAAAGAACCUGGUGUCACCAGUGAUUCUUGAAGUAAACGGACGAUGUGUUGCCGCGCUGUCGGUAAUGAAGUUUGUUGCUAUUGAUGAAAUCAGGAGCUGAGACUUGAGACCGAAUUCGAGUAUAUAUUUAACUGACCAAUGUGAACCAAGCAUUGUUGUUGUUUUUGUCUCACAUUCUUAUUGUUCCAUAGCCGGGAUGAUUCAUUAAAGGGCCAACAUCUUGCAGAAGAAAGACUAGUGCCAUACUGAAAUCGGUGCCAUGCCAAGCGAAAAAGAUCAAGCAGAUCCAAGCCGUAUAGCUCAUCGUGGCUUUCUCUUAAUGAAUGUCCAUAGGUAUACAACCUCGAAUAAGAUGAUACUCCCUCCUAUCAGAAGCAUAAGUCCAACCUUUUAAUUUUAACUACAUAUAUCUAAAAUUUAUAUAAAUCAACAAUACAAGGUUAGUAUUACUUAGAUUGGAUAGAAAUAUAUUUUCAUGAUGUAUAAAUUUUCGAUUUAAAAUAAUAUGUUUUAAUAGAUAUUGUUAGUUAAAGUACCAUAUUGGAGACCGAGUCGAUGUUCUAAUGGACUUAUUUUUUAUUUUUUUUAAACACGGUAACGUACGCAAACUCAACCCUACGAAUACACACGACUCACAUAAAUGCACUUAUGUUUCUGAUAAGAAGAAAAUACGUACUAUGUUGAUAAAUUUUAAUGGCAAAAUGCCACAAACACUUAAUCCCUUCAUUCCGCAUUAAGAAGGUAUAAGAGUUUAUUACAAUUAUUUAUGUUGAUUACUAGUAUUAUGCUACUAUUAUUUAUAUUUGAUACGCCCUUAUAGAUACAUAGUUAAUUUUAUUGAAAGAGACAAGCACAGUUCUAGUUGAACCUAUGACCCUUUUUUCUAGAAACAAACCAAAUCAAAUGUCGUAAAUAGAUGACCAAUCUGGCAUAGUUAGACACAAGAUGAACAAUAUGUCAGAUAGAUUGCAAACUAAGUAUUGCAACAGCCAAUGGAACACCCAAUUUAGCGACAGUCACACUUCAGAAGAUAGAUGCACAAGAUGAACUAUAUAAACAGUCGAUAGGACCAGCUUCAGCCUUCAGGUCAUAAACUACCAAAUACAAUUGUGCCCACCACAUAUAUAAUACUCCCUCCAUCCCAAAUUAUAGGUCGUUUUGAUUUUUUUAGAUUCAUAAAUUUUAUUAUGCACUUAGAUAUAGCCAAUAUCUAGAUGCAUAAUAAUAUCUAUGAAUCAAGAAAAGCCAAAACGACUUAUAAUUUGGGAUUUGAGGGGGGGGGGGGGGGGGAGAUAAGAACUCCAUAUGAAGCCCUUGGCACCACGAUGGCCACCAUUUCUUAGGAACUAAGGAUAGCAUACUAAUACUUCUCUUAUCAGGGUAGUACAACUUAUAAAGACCCUUGGCUGAACGUUAAAUGGUUGCAUUGGGAUGAUGAAGCCAACCCCAUCAGAGAAGAAACAAAAGCAGCAGCAAUAACACCAGACACUGGGUGAUCGGGCAGACGAACAUGAUCAUCCCACUGCUUCCAACGCAGGGACCUCUUGCUGCAAAACCUGCAGGGGAAGCAGGGGAUUUUGCCAUUCUCAUAUUGGAAGAAGCGGUAUAAUACAUGAUGAACCCUAUGAUUGCAAUCUGCUCAUAAUGCGCUUACUGUUCCAUCUUCCUAGGGGCCUAAUGUCUGUGGAUUAAUGGCUCAGAGGGGACAACUAGUAGUGUAAUUGGAAGGUCAUAGAUGAGAUAAAGUAUCUGCUCAUCAUCUCGUUUAUCUUGGAAUAGAUCUAACCAACAAAACCUGAAACUUUACCUUUAUGGUUUAUAACUUUAUAUAUAUACACUACAAAGAAUGAGUAGAAUGGAAAAUGUUUCUCACUCAGAUUAGGCCCGCAGUACCUCUCAUGUAGGUUUCUCACGUUGAUUAGGCCCAGGAAGCGGAGCUGUGGAGGGAAUGCAGAUCCAAAAAAAUCGUGAGUUAGAAAAUGUUUAUAUUGAAAACUGAUUUUUUUUCUCUCACCUGCGUUUCCCUUACCCGCCUGCUGUAUCCAUUCAUACCCACGUGUCCGUGCCUCGUCUCCGGCUAGGCCUCCCAUGCCAUUGAUCCACAGUCACGGGAGGAGGCAAACCCCGUGGCAGUAGCGACAACACUCACACAAUCACUACUACAUAUAUAGAAGGAAAAUGUUUAUGUUUUCAUGCCCGGAUCUCCAUGACAUUGUAGGUGUCUUCUUUAACUCUCCAUCCCACCGACACAAGCAUUAACUAGAAGACAGUGUUAGUGCCUUGAAUAAGACGAAUGGUACUAAAAGUCAACAAUGACAAAUAUUUUGAUACGUAGGUAGUACUUUUUUAUAUAUGCUAAAUCUCUCCAAUGCUAAGUAAUACAUUACCUCUGUUUUUUGAACAGCUAUACAUUGCCUGCGUGACUAUUUUUAUGUGGUACGGAGGUGUUUAAUAUAUACUUUAUAAAUAGUCACUGCCAUCAGAUGUUAGUUCUAUCUGCUUGUGUGUCUUUGAUCACUAGCUCAUACCUACUACUAGCGGGUACCUUUAUAAUUUUGAUUGAAUAGUGUUUUCGUGAUUCAUCAAGGAGCACGAUCAUGAGCAUCACAUGUAAUAGCUUCCUUUAAAACACUUGAGUCAACCUCCAGCUGCACAUGGGAGAUGCCAUACAAUUCUGCUGUCUCCAAUGCCUUGAGGCAGCUAACUGCUUCCGCCAUUAACGCGUCAUGAAGCUGACAGCAUUGCCUGCACCUGCCAGCACGUGUUCACCUGUGUAAUCUCUGAUAAUGAAGCCCUAGGCGCCAUUCUUAGUUGCCUGCACAAAAGCUCCAUCAGUAUUGAUUUUCAGGACACCUUGGGGAGGUCUGAGCCAUCUCGGUUGUAGCCUAGCAGCCGGUCUGAUUUUCAUUCUUGGCAAUUCCAGCAGCCCCGCCAUCUCUAAGAUUGAGUGACAGAUAUUAUGUAUAUUUUGAAUUGGAUCUCCAGCAUUUACCUUGUUUCUUACAUCCCACCACUUCCACAGCAAGAGGCUAACCUUACAGGCCAAGCUUUGUUCAAGUUGCAGCACAUUCCAAACAAAAUCCUUCGCUGAUUUGGCCGACAGCAAAACAAGACGUGUUUGUUCCAUUUCCAAGAGACGCCAACAUCUCUUUAUUAGCUUGCAUUUUAGAAAACAGUGACCCCCGUCCUAAUCAAAACGCAGGCACACCGGACAUCUCGUGUCAAGAAUAACCCCUCUCCGUUUGAUGUUUUGCUUCAGUGGUAAGCUGUUGUGAGCCAGGCGCCAAAUGAAAAGGCGUACCUUUGGAGGACAUGGCAGCUUCCACAAUUCUUCCACUUCUGUGCUUCGUGAUCUCCCUCCCGACUGCACAAGCUACUUUCUCCUUGUUGGUUCUGCCGCUGGCGCUUCUCUUCAUGUACUAACACAUGGUAUGCUGACUUGACCGAAAACAUCCCCUUCCUGUCAUGGUGCCAGGCAAUAACAUCAUCCCUGCCGAGGCGCACCGAAAUCGAUAGAAUAUUUGGAACGUCUUCUUCCCAAAAACAUUUCACGCACAAGUUGGGCAUGUUCCAGUAAUCGGAUCGAUGAGUUCUUCAACCUUUGAGAGUAGCAUCGAACCCCGUGGUGUUCUUGGUCAGCGGGAUAUACCUGUUGGGAUCCAGGGGUCAUCCCAAAUUCUCACUUGGGACCCAUCACCAAUCCGCCAGAUCAAACCAUUCUUCAAAACUUUAAAUCCCCGAACAAUGCUGCGCCAAGUAUAAGAAAUUCCUGACCCCUCGGACACCCGCAAAAGGUCACCAUUUGGGCAAUACCGGGCUGUGAGUAAUCUCGCACAUAAAGACUCCGGGUUUUGCAAAAUGCGCCAAGCUUGUCUCGCUAGCAUAGCAAGAUUGAAAAGAUGCAGGUCCCUGUAGCCCAUACCACCCUCAUCUUUCUGAGUUGUCAAAGUCUCCCAAGACACCCAAUGCAUUAUUUUCCUUCUCCAUUUGAGCCCACCAAAAACGGCAAAUCAUGGUACUAAUCUCAUCCGCCAAUGACUUUGUGAUAUCAAAACAGGCCACCGCAUAGCUUGGAAUUGCUUGGGCCACCGCUUUUAUAAGAGUUUCUUUUUUGGACUUCGACAAAAGCUUCUCCUUCCAGCCAUGUAUGCGCUUCUAGAUUCUGUCUUUUAGAUAUGCAAAUGUUUGUGUCCUUGAACGACCCAUAUAGACAGGCAAGCCAAGGUACCUGUCCGUUCUCACCCUCUGUGCAAGACCGAGUGUGGAUAGGAAUUGAUCACCUGAUAUUUAACUUGUGUUCUUACUGAAAAGUAUAGAAGGCUUGUCUUUGUUUAUUAUCUGACCCGAGCAUGCCUCAUACACUUGGAGCACAUAUUGCAGAUAAUUUGCAUUCUCAUGGUUUGCUUUUAAGAGAAGCAAAGCAUCAUCUGCAAAGAGCAAGUGAGUCAUGCUGGGCGCAUUAGCACAUAUACUGAUCCCCUGCAGCCUCCCGCCUUCCUCCGCUGCAUUCAACAUUGAUGAGAAACCCUCAGAACAUAAAAGGAACAAAUACGGGGACAACGGGUCACCCUGCCGCAACCCCCUCGUUGGCUGAAUUUUUUCUGUGAGUACACCAUUCACCUUAACUCUAUAAGUCACCGUAGAAAUACAGCACAAGAUCAAAUUGACCCAUCACCGGCUGAAACCCAUCUUCAACAUAUUUUUCUCCAAAUAGUUCCAUUCCACUCUAUCAUACGCUUUGCUCAUGUCUAGCUCCAGUGCACCAAAGCCCUCACCCCCGAUCUCUUAUUCUGCAAGUAAUGAGUCAUCUCAUAAGCUAUCAGGACAUUAUCCGAAAUGAGCUUGCCCGGGACAAAAGCACUCUGGUUUUGAGAGAUGAUCUCAGGAAGAAUUAACUUGAGCCGAUUGGACAAAACUUUGGAGAUGAUCUUGUAUAUGACAUUACACAAACUUAUUGGCCGUAGGUCUUUUAGCCGCUCAGGAUUUUGCACCUUAGGAAUCAACACCAGCACCGUCUCAUUCCAUUUUGCCGGCAUGCUGCCAUCAUUUAGGAAAGUGAGAACUUCCCUCACCACAUCCACCCCCACAAUGCUCCAAUGCUUCUUGUAGAAAAGAGACGACAUGCCAUCUGCCCCCGGAGCUUUAAGGUCCCCGAUGGCAUCAAGACCUUGGCGCACCUCCUCCUCUGUGAAAUCACGUAGCAGCUGAUCGUUCAUCUCAUUUGAAACCGCCUGCUUGACAUGCUGGAGGAGUUCAUCCAUACGGUCACCUGCAUUUAUGGUAAAUAAAUUUCUAUAGUAAUUAGUAAUUAGUGUUUGCAGCUCCCCAUCUUCCUCCACCACACUCCCGUCAUCCUGCACCAAUUUCUGCAGUUAUUUUGGUUGUGUGCUCAACUGAACACGAAUUUUAUUGCUAUAACUGCUUCUGUAGGUGGAAUUGCAUUGCUCUUAGCAGAUGCGGUUACAAUUUUAUAAAAUUCCUUUCAUACUCUAGAAGGAUACAUGCUCUGCUUCUGAUGUACUACUACUUAAAAACUAUAUCAUUUGCAUUCCUUCUAAAGGAAUUACAUAUCAUGCGUUUGAUAGAAUCCCCUUAGUAUAUGUAUUCCUUCUAAAUGGUAUGUCCUGUCAUCUAAUCCUACAUCCAAAUACAUAGUUAUGGCUAAAAGUUUAUUCCUUCUAAACAGUAUGUCAUGUCAUUUAAUCCUACACCCAAAUUUGUGCCUAGAAUGAACACUAGUUAUGUAUGGCUAAAAGUUUCCAUUUGUGGUUGCCAGAGAUAUUACCUCUUCCUACAGUUUUCUUAUUUGAUUUCCCCAGUAAAUCUCAUUGCUGCAUCAAUGGCACUUUUGCAAUUUGGUGUAGAGUUCUAAGCAUUCAAAUUUGCUUGGCCUGUUUCUCCCAAAUGAAAAAACAGUUGUUCUGAUAUAAAAAGUGGUCUAGGGAAGUUUCUGGAGCAGCUGCUAUGCAGUUUAUAUAGUUAUAUAACAAACUACUAUUUUACAGUUGUGGCCCUUAUUCAUGUGAUAGCUCAUUGGCAUAGCUGCUUACUAUUGUGUUCAUACUGAUUGUGCAUGAGUCAGCUUAUGUACUAAUUAUUUUCCCAUUUUUAUGGAAAAAAUUUCUCUUCCCUGAAAAUGGGUGCAUCAGGAAAGUAAGCAUACCUAUUUUUCUCAUAGAGUAGCUUCAUAUAUUUCUGUUGGAGUACAACAAAAUUGUUGCUGACUGCAUUUAAGUACAAUAUAUGUUCCACUCUUUUCUAUUUUUUGAAUCCUAGAUACAUUUAUCCUCUGAACCAUGUAUGAGAAAAAAAAACUUAAAUUUCAUUUUCCCCUAUAUAUGUGACUAAAUUACUGCUUUGGUGGAUCCACAUUAACCUUCUGUUACCUAAAAUUUUGGUAAAAAAAAAAAAGCCCUGCUCCUAUAUGAUUCUUUGCUUCUUUGUUUUGGGCUCACUUGCAUCACAUAGCCCUCAAUCUUUGACAAUGGGCCUUUCCCUUAAUACCAGAGCAUUUGAAUCAUCUAUAGAUUAUUGCUGCGAGGGCUUUUUAAAGUGCUCAAGAAAAUGCAUCAAGAAAAUGCAUCAGUGCAAGAUAAAUAUAUGUACGCUUAAGAUGUUCAGAAUUGUAGCAUCGUAUAGUUACAUUAUGCAAAUCUCUGUAGUUGUGCUAAUUGUUUUAUGCCACAUAGAUUAGUAAAUCACCUACUGUUUACUUUUGAACCAUACAUCCCUUUUCGGUAGAAGCAAACAGGAUCUUUUUAUACUUAUCUAUUUUGAGAUGUCAGUCCAAGUUAUUUGUUAAGAAAAAGAGAAGAGUUUUCUUAGCAAAAACAUUAUUUGCUCUUUUUUUUGGAAUAACAAUGUUAGACUCUACUAGGCAAAUGUUAUGGCAACUUCAAAUUCACUCAGAAAGAUGCAACAUAAAGGCACUCCUUAUCAGUUAUCGCAGUUGAUGAUCCAAUUGGAAUAGCCUAUAGUUUCAUUGUUGCAAUCUGUGUCAAGUAUUUCUUACUAGCAAUACUCCUUUUAUUGUUUAUGUAAGCAUACAAAGCUGCUAAGAGAGGUAACUGCCACAUGAAGGAGCAACCUUUUUUGUCAACUUCAAUGGAAUAUUUUGCUAAUCUACGCCUUCAUUCGAAAAUGUGGAUAUGGCACAUUCUAACCAACUUCUGUUUCUUUCUGUUUGUACAUAUAAGUUGUUUAAUCGACACUAGAUCUUUGGAAAACAGACUUCUGAUGUGCUUUAGUGCACAAAAUGUAGACCAUAUGUUUUUGAUGUACCUCCUCUUGUUCACAUCUUAAAAUACCAGACACUACAUGCCACGGUGAAGCAUGCAGUAGUCAUGAAGGAAGCAAAGCUUUGGACAUGAUUAUGCAUUACACCAAUCUAAAAUGGUUUGCAAAAAUCAAUUCAUUAUGUCAUAAUAGUGGGAACGGUAAAAGCAUGAGUCCUACGGGUGAGCCAAAGGCGCGCCAGGGUUCUAGUACAGGACUUUAGAACGAGAAAUAGAGGACGACUCAGGAGAUGGAUAUGGAUUCCGGAGGAAUAUUUCUUUACUUUUUUGGCUUAGGAUCAUGCAGGUGGCUUGACAUAUAAGUUAACUUUCUACUCCCUCCGUAUCAACAUAUUUGUCGCUAUUGACCUUUUCCUAUAAUGUUUGACCAUUCGUCUUAUUCAAAAAUUUAAUUGCAGAUGCACGAAAAGAUAAGUCAUGCUCAAAAUAUCUAUGAUGGUAAAGUAAGUUACAAACAAAAUAAAUGAUAUAUGCUUACAUAAUUUUUUGAAUAACAUGAAUGGUCAAACAUCGUGACUAAAAGUCAAUAGCGACAAAUAUUUUGAUACGUAGGUAGUACUUUUUUUUAUAUACGCAAAAUCUCUCCAAUGCUAAGUAAUACAUUACCUCUGUGUUUUGAACAGCUAUACAUUGCCUGCGUGACUCUUUUUAUGUGGUACGGAGGUGUUUAAUAUAUACUUUAUAAAUAGUCACUGCCAUCAGAUGUUAGUUCUAUCUGCUUGUGUGUCUUUGAUCACUAGCUCAUACCUUUAUAAUUUUGAUUGCAUAAUGUUUUCGUGAUUCAUCAUGGUUAUUCUUUGGUUCCCACUUGUACCUGCAGAAUUAUUCUUUCAAGAGAUAUGUUUGAAUUUAGCUAAGUUGGUGAGUGUUGGCGCAGACGCAUAUACAGAUUUUUUAUCAGAUUUGCUCCUUGUCAACCGGUUGAAAUGUUGAUUAUCAAUCGACGCUAUCAACAGAAGGACGCGGGCCUAGAACAUCAAUACAGAGACGUUGGAUUUGAUUGAUAGAAAAGCAAAAUAUCAAUAAGUUCACAAGGAGACAGAUUCUUUUUUAUACCAUUAUCUGUUCUGGGAUUAUCGCUAAAACCCUCGAUUAUUUAGUAGGGCACGUGAUGAACUAUAUAACUAUAUAGCAGAUAGGAUACCCAGCUUCAUGUUACAAACUGCCACAUACAAGUGAGCCAGCCAUAUAGAUACAUCAUAUACAUAUAAUAGAUAAUAAGAACUCCAUACAAGUCCAUUGCACCUGCAUGAUGGCAACCAUUUGUCAGGAUCAGGGAUUGGGAUUUCAUUUUUUGAAUUUUUUCGGUCCCUUCGAAAACACCGAAUUUCGACAAAUUUUGACCGAAAUUUGGAUAAAAAAGUGUAUGUUUCGGUGAAGGGAGUGAAAUUUCCGGCAUAUAGUAAUUUCGGUCACUACCAAAAAGAUCAAAAUUUCAUGAAAUUCACGAAAUUUCGGCCAAAAUUUUAAACACUGGUCAGGAUAGAGAAACUACUUCUUGUCAGGAUAGUAGCACCUAUAAAGGCCCCUGGCUGAACGGUAAAUGGUUGGGAGGGUGAAAGCCACCAGCGAAGGAACGAAAGCAGCGGCAACAACUGCAGACACCGGGUGGUCGGGCGGAGGCACGUAAUCAUGCCCCCGCCGCCAAUGCAGGGACCUCUUGCUGGAAAACCUGCAGGGGAAGCAGAGGGUUUCGUCACUUCCAUUAUUGGAAAAAGCAGAAUAGUGCAUGGUGAACUGUUUGAUUGCAAUCUGCUCGUAAGGGGGUGUUUGGGAGGAGGGGGCUAAACUUUAGCCCAGUCACGUUGGAUGUUCGGAUACUAAUUAGAAGGACUAAACAUAAGAUAAUUACAAAACUAAUUGCAGAACCCCUAGGCUAAAUCGUGAGACGAAUCUAUUAAGCCUAAUUAAUCCAUCAUUAGUGAAUGGUUACUGUAGCACCACAUUAUCAAAUCAUGGACUAAUUAGGCUUAAUAGAUUCAUCUCGCGAUUUAGCCUAGGGGUUGUGUAAUUAGUUUUGUAAUUAGUCUAGGUUUAAUACUCCUAAUUAGUGUCAAACAUUCGAUGUGACGGGGGCUAAAAUUUAACCCCCUCCUCCCAAACACCCCCUAAAUCGUAAUGCGCUUACUGUUCCAUCUUCCCAGCAGGGGCCUUGAUCGAUGAUCGUCCCACCUCCUUGAGAUGAAAGCACAUGAUUUCGCCACUAGCCCUGCAACACACAUGAUCGCGAAUGAGACUAUAUAAUGAGCAGCAUAGAGCCAUAGACGACAACCAGCUGAGAUUUACUAACUCGGAUAAAAAAUACCCUUACCGUGUGCACUAGACGGCCUACACCCAUAGCCUGGGUGGCCGCAGAUCAGAUGGUCUCGGCGGUGGAAGCAUACACUCGUGCGGCACGCGGCGGCCGACCUCCGGAAACAGCCCGGAAGACAAGCCGGAGCGCCCGCCGUGGAGCACCUUCGCCAACAUCGCUGCCGCCACCGCCAUCACCUUCUCCUCGCGUGUCCUGUUCCUCCCUCUCUCUCUCUCGAUCUUUUCUCUCUCAACAGAUCGAUAUAUGUAUCCGGGAGGGACGAGGGAGGGAGGGCUUAUCGACUACGAUCGCCCCGCGCAAAGAAGGUGAAGGACCGAAAGGGCGAUAAGGGAGGGUGAAUAAGAGUCUAUAACAAUUAUCAACGAGAACAAGGCCUAUGUCCCAAAUGCAACCUCAAAGCACACUGCGCGUUGUAUGGUCAAGAUGAUGUAAGUGAACUCGUGAUAAGCUCACCCUAGGAACGAUAAGAGAACGCUCAAAUCACAGUGGAAACAUAGCAUGAAUCGACUCCAUCAAAUUUGCACAUAUGAGACAAAGCAAAGAUACUAUUAACCACUUACUAAACUAGGCAUGGAAGGACUAGCAAUAAACUAGGCAUGAUUAGUAAGACAAAAUACUAAACAAGGUGUCAAAGAUUAAUUAGCAAAGUGCAAGAACUUAAUCAGUAACAUAUUAACAUGAUUAGUAAGUGACAGUUCUAAUUAAGAAGCUAAACAAAAGAACAGAGACUAAGGCCCUGUUUGGCACGGCUCCACUCCAUAACUCCAGCGACUCCAGCAAAAAAUCCAGCCAAACACGUCAACUCCAAAACUCCAUGGAGCUGCCAACUCCAUGGAGCUGUAGUGCAAAUGGGGCUGGAGUUUUUGAGCACCCUUUUUGCUGCUCCAAAAUGUCCUCUUUUGAACCUCCUUGUGGAGUUGGUGGGUAAUUACCCACCACUGCCACUGAUUACACAAAAAUAACGUUUCAUCUGUUUGCCUCUUUCUUUCUAUUCUCCCGUGCGCCUCUGUUUCUUUCUGUUCUCCCAUGAGUUCACCCGCCCGCGCUUGGACCUGCGCCGGCGGCUAGGGUUGCGCCGGCGGCUAGCGUUGCCGCCGCUGUAGCCCCUACCGGCGGCCGGAGACAGCGCCCCACCGCCGCCAGGCGCCCUUGGCCCGACGCCGGUCCGCCCGCCCGCCUAGCCCCACCGCCAGGCGCCCCUAGGCCCGUCGGCGGCCGGAGUGCCCCACCGCCGGCCUUCGCGCCCUCCUGCCGAGCCCCGCCGUCGGCCUUCGCGCCCCCCUGCCGAGCCCCGCCGCCGGCCUUCGCGCCCCUCCGCCGAGGCCCGCCGCCGGCCUUCGUGCCGCUCCGCCGAGGCCCGCCGCCGGCCUUCACGCCCCUCCGUCGAAGGCCCGCCGCCGGCCGCUGCGCCCAAGGCCGCCCGUGUCGCCCCGCCGCCGAAGGCCGCCGCCGGCCACAGCGCCCGACCGCCGGUUUGCCCCGCCGCCGAAGAUCCCCCGUCACCGAAGAUCCCUCGCCGAAGGUAUGGUUCCUGAACUAUUUUUUUAAGUAAAAUCAGAGGAUUAGGUGUGAUUGUACAUGUACAUGUAAAAGUUGGUUUGCUGCCGUUGGGGAAAGCAUAUCUGGUGGCACAAGUCAUCUCGGUCUACUUGUGAGGCCAAUUAUGUUCGUGAAAUUCAUUUUCUGCUCAAAGCAGUUAAUGUUGCUUUUUGUAAGUGACCUGUUUUGAGGUGAACCAAUGCCUAAAUCUAGUGAUUCUGAUUUGUCGAGUAAGGUUUCACUUUGUGUUAACUAAAGCUGAUAACGUAAUCAGACUAGAUUGCAUACCUAAGUACAAAGUAAUACAUAAUGUUUGGGAAAUGUUUCUCUUUACUUUUGAUAUGCGCAAUCUCGAGUGCUGUGUGUGUAUGAAAUUGAUAUACUCCAUUGCUGUGUGUGUAUGAAAUUGAUAUACUCGAGGCCUUCUAAUAUGAAAUUUGUGAGUUCGAUAGAUGCCUGAAAUUGAUUGGAAUUCGGAGAACACUCGAGUGUUGUGUGUGUUGUUUGCCGAACAAGUUGAAAAAGGAAAUCGGCCAAACACACACUUGAAUGCACUUGGUUAUGCUGAGGUUGAGAAAGGGUUCACGGAAAGGACUGGAAUUGUGGCUACCAAGGGUCAGAUCAAGAACAAAUGGGACAAGUUGAAGGAAGAUUUCAAGGCAUGGAAGAAACUAAUGCUAAGGCAAACAGGGACUGGUUGGGAUCCUAUAAAGAAGACUAUUGCUAUGGAUGAUGAAUGGUGGAAAAAAGCUAGAGCUGUAAGUUGGUUAAAAAAAUUUCCUAUAUUUUUUUCCACAUGUCAAACCUGUUGGUAAUACUUAUAAUAAUAUUAUGUGCUUAUUUCAGAACAUUCCGGGUUGUGGCAAGUUCAAAAAGAAGGGCCUUGAGAAUGAAGAUGAAUUAGCCAAGUGUUUUGCUGACAUUACUACUAUUGGUAUUGAUCAUUGGUCUCCUCAUGUUGUUAAUGUUGAAGCAACAGAAAAUGUUGAUGUGACACAAGAUGAGGCAACCAAUUUUGAGCUAGAAGGUGAUGAUUUCAUUCCUAAAACACAAGAGGAGGAUAUUGGUAUUUCUCCCUCACCUGCGAGUGGCAAGAGACUAGCAAGGCCUGUUGACAGGAGUAGUAAAAAAGCGAAGUCUGGAAAUGCACUCCUAAUUCAAGAAGCUGUAACAAGUAUGACAAGUUCAGCCAAUGAAUAUGUUUCGAAGAGACAUGGAAAAUAUUCUAUUGAGGAAGUAAUGGAGGUUGUGAUUGCUUGUGGGGCCGGUUAUGAUAGCAAUGAACAUUACAUGGCAUCUGAACUGUUUGUGAAGAAGGAGCAAAGGGAGAUGUUCAUGACCUUGCCUACUAAUGAAAUUAGGUUCAAUUGGCUUAGAAGGAAGUACAAUGAUAAAUAUGAAAAGUAGAAAUUGGCUUAGUGAGAGUGAUGUCAUUUGUGUGUGCUACUAUUUUAUUUUUGUCGCAUGUGUGGUACAUUUAAUUUUAUUGCAUUUUAUUUAGGUAUGACAGUUGUAUCUUACAUUUCAUUUAUGUCAAUGUUCACAGAUGUCUUCAAGUGAGUCUGAUGAAUCUAGUGAUUCUGAUGGUGAAUAUUUUUUUAAAAUGGUUAAGAGCUGUGGUAAGCUAGCACAAAGUUAUCAUGACUCAUAUAUGGAUAAGGCACCGCCGAGAUUUAUGUUUUCACAACAAAGUGGAAUAGGUUGGCUGAUGGAGAUGGUAAACACUCCAAGGGAGUGCCAUCGAAUGCUUCGGAUGAAUGAGGUUAUUUUUCAGGAUCUUCAUGAUGUGUUGGUUGAGAGGUACGGAUUAAAACCAUCGAAGCACGUGAAUACUCAUGAAAUGUUGGCCAUUUUCCUAUUCACAUGUGGUGGGUGUGAGUCAAAUAGAAGAGGACAAAAUAAGUUCAAACACUCAGGUGAAACCAUUAGUAGAAAAUUUCAUGAAGUUCUAAAUUGUCUGGUUGCCAUGGCACAAGAUUUCUUGAGACCAACAGAUCCUAAUUUUCGCAAUGUGCACGAGAGGAUUAGGAAUGACAAGAGAGCAUACCCACACUUUAAGGAUUGUAUUGGUGCACUUGAUGGAACCCAUAUUCAUGUGUAUUUAUCACCUGAAGAACAAGUGAGAUAUAUUGGUAAGACUGGAAUUGCAACUCAAAAUGUGCUUGCCGUUUGUGAUUUUGAUAUGCGCUUCACCUAUGUAGCUGCGGGUCAACCAGAUUCUUUGCAACACUAGUGUAUUGUACCAUGCAUUGGAAGUAGAUGUAAAUGUCUUCCCACAUCCUCCUCAAGGUAAAGAUUUUUUCUUAUGUUCCUUUUCAUAUUUGUAUGUACAAACUUAUCUUAUUUUACAUAUGUGUAGGCAAGUACUAUGUUGUAGAUGCGGGCUAUCCUAAUCGUUCGGGGUAUCUGGCUCCAUACAAGGGUGAAAGGUACCACUUACCCGAGUGGCAUCGAGGUAUGGAACCAAAUACUCCAAAAGAGAAGUUCAACCGUAUACACUCAUCUGUUCGCAAUGUUAUUGAGCGGUCAUUUGGAGUAUUAAAAAUGAAAUGGCAAAUCCUUUACAAGAUGCCCGGUUAUUCCAUGGUCACACAAAAGAAGAUUGUUGCUACUACUAUGGUUCUACACAAUUUCAUACGUGACCAUGCUAGCAUUGAUGUGGACUUUGCUAAUUUUGAUAGAGAUCCUACCUACAUGCCUACUAUUCCGGAAAGAUACAACAAGUAUGCCGUGUCUCAACAUGCCUCCGAUGGAUCAACUUCGAAAUCAAGCUUUGUGACUAUGGAUACCUUUCGUGAUAGUAUGAUCCUACCUACAUGCCUACUAUUUCGGAAAGAUACAAAAAGUAUGCCGUGUCUCAACAUGCCUCCGAUGGAUCAACUUCGGAAUCAAGCUUUGUGACUAUGGAUACCUUUCAUGAUAGUAUGACUACAUCAAUUGCCCUAACAUGGAAUUAGUGCAAUGAUUAUUGUAACGACCUUAUUUUGGAACUAUGAAUUUAUUUCGAAAUUUUAAAUUUUUGGAACAUGUAAUUUAUUAUUAUUUUGGACUUAAAUGCAUGUACUUUCAUUUUAUAUUUGUGAUAAGUAGUUCAAGUCGAACCAAGGGCAAGAAAGGCAAUCUACCCUCAAACUCCUCUUUUCUGGAGUUGGUUACACCCUCCCAGCCAAACACCCUCACCAGACAGCUCCAACUUAGGCCCGUACAUCAUGCAUGGCAAGUGGGCCGACCGCACGGCCUCCAAAAUUUUGGGGCCCCCAUGUGUACGUGAGUAUGUGACCUACUGACCUGUCAAUCUCUCUCUGGUGGCCUCUAUUCCUGCCUGCAUGCGAGUAUGCGACCAGGCCUGCAUGGCUGCAUGCAACUUUUUGUGUUUUUAGCCUGGGCCCUAGAGAUUGGAGAAUCUGUUGCCGUGUUGCCGGACCAGGACCGUCCGAUCUGAUCAUCCGAAUCAUCCGAUACUGAUUAGCAGCCUAGCAGGCCUGGCCUGCCGCUGCCGCCUGCCGAUUAUUUUAAUUUCUAAAUCUAAUCGCCAGAGCGCCGCCAGCCGCCGCAAUCUCGCCGAGUCACCAAGCUGCAUGCGAAAUUGCGCUGCCGCAAUCAAGCCUGCAUGCAGUGACUCCACCUGCCUCUGACCAUCUGACGGCAGGUCUUCUCCACAACAGGCCAACAGCACAACAGAACUACAAAAGGCAAAAGCUACCGCCAGGUAAGGUAAUGCUAGGUGACCGGCUCUAUGAUUUGUGUGCAAUUGGGUCAAUGAUUUGUUAAAUGUUAAUUUAGCUUUGUUGCUUUGUAAUUCAUGAAACAGGGAGUCCUAUUUAUUUAUCAUCAUAUCAUGUCUUCUAGAAAUAGAAAAUAUGAGUCAGGUAAUGAAAAGUGCAAGAAGAAACAAAGGCUUGAACAAUUUGCUGGGACUCAAAAGGGUGUCUUGAUAGAUUUGUUGUUAAGAACUGUCAAACAAGUGCACAAGAUGAAACUCCUGAGGCACAUAGUGAUGGAAAUCACGGUGAUAACACAGACAACGUUGAAGCUCACACUUUAGGAACUGAAUCAGUGCAAGUUAAUCCCAACAAUGCGGAUGGUGUUGAUGCUACCCUUGAUGGAUCAGCUAGUAUUGAAAGAGACAAUGAUUUGAGGGUUCCUUUUCAGCCUAACAUAUUUGAUCCAAGAUAUUGGGAUGGACUAGAUCAAAAACAGGUUGAUAUUUUGGUCCAAAAGGGUCCUAAAAGGGACUUGUCUAUUCAGAAAGGUCCUAAAGAUAGGUUAUCAAGGAGGUUUUCUGCAGCAUUAUAUACUAGAAUUUUAUCAAAUGGGGAAACUUGUGAUAGAGAAUGGCUGGUAUAUUCCAAAGAGCUUGAUAGAGUAUUCUGUUUUUGUUGCAAGUUAUUUAGAAAGGGGUAUUUAAGGAGUCAGCUAGCAAAUGAAGGUCUGAGUGAUUGGUCACAUGUUGGCACUCGACUUAAAGAUCAUGAAACUAGUGCAGAUCAUAUUACAAAUAUGGCUUCUUGGUAUGACAUGCGUCUCAGAUUUGAUAACAACCAAACUAUUGAUAAAGUUGCUCAUAGAGAAAUUGAGAAGGAAAAGGAACAUUGGAGGAAGGUUUUGUUCAGAAUUAUUUUGAUUGCAAAAUUUCUUGCAAAGCAUAACUUAGCAUUUCGUGGCACCAAUAGCAAGCUGUAUCAGGACAGCAAUGGCAAUUUUCUAGGCAUGGUUGAAAUGAUGGCUGAAUUUGAUCCGGUUAUGCAGGAGCAUGUUCAACGCAUAACAAAUGAUGAUAUCCAUACACAUUACCUCGGUCAUGGCAUCCAGAAUGAGGUAAUACAUUUGCUUGCUGCUUCUAUCAGGUCUGAAAUAAUUAGAAAAAUAAAGGAAUCAAAAUAUUUCUCAGUUAUCCUUGAUUGUACCCCUGAUAUAAGCCACCAAGAACAAAUGUCUUUGAUCAUAAGAUAUGUUGACACAUCUUCAGAUUCUAUUUGCAUUGAGGAAUCAUUCUUAGGUUUUCUGGAUAUUAAUGAUACUACAGGCCAAGGGUUAUUUGAUGUUUUACAAAAUGAAUUAAAGAAUCUUGACCUUGAUAUAGACAAUGUGAGAGGACAAGGAUACGACAAUGGAUCAAAUAUGAAAGGGAAAAAUAUAGGGGUACAAAAGAAAGUUUUGGAGAUCAGUCCUCGAGCCUUUUAUUCUGCUUGUGGCUGUCAUAGUCUUAAUUUAGCACUAUGUGAUAUGGCAAAGAGUUGCGGUAAAGCAAAAGAUUUUUUUGAAUCAUACAAUGUAUCUAUACAAUAUUUGGUAAGUCCACUAAGAGAUGGCAAAUUUUAAAAGAUAACAUAUCAGGAUUCACUCUCAAGCCAUUGUCAGCAACUCGUUGGGAGAGUUGUGUUGACAGUGUUAAGGCUAUAAGGUUCCAAAUGCAGGAUAUACGACAAGCUUUACUGGAAGUGUCGGAUACUGAUAAUGAUGCAACAAUAUGUAGUGAAGCUAAAUCCUUGGCGACCAAUGAGCUUGGUGACUUUGAAUUUAUAGUGGCAAUAGUUAUCUGGUAUGAAGUAUUAUCUGCCAUUAAUUUGGUCAGUAAACAAUUACAAGCAAAGGAUAUGCUUAUUGAUAUUGCUAUUGAGAAAGUGCAGGGGUUGCUUUCAUUCUUCACUAAGUAUAGAGAAACUGGUUUUCCAAAUGCAUUAGAAUCUGCAAAAGAAAUUGCACGUGAGAUGGAUGUUGAACCAACAUUCCGUACCAAGCGUAAAAUCAAAAGGAAACGGCAAUUUGAUGAGGCACGUGAAGAUGAAUCUAUUGCUUCACAAUCUACAGAGGAGUUAAUUAGAAUCAAUUAUUUUCUAUCCAUUGUUGAUCAAGCUAUUGCUUCACUUACAAAGAGAUUCGAACAAUACCAGGGAUACAAAAAAACUUUUGGUUUUUUGUUUACUUCAAAGAAAUUAUGCUCCUUAGAUGACAAGAGUCUGUUGUCUUCUUGUGCUCAUCUUGAGGCUGCACUUAAGAGUGGUGACCAUUCUGAUAUUGAUGGAAGUGGUGACCAUUCUGAUAUUGAUGGCAAAGAAUUACACGUGGAGUUAAAGUUCCUCCAAGAUUUCAUUCCAAAGGAAGACAUGUGCCCUCUUGAUAUUCUGAAGUUUGUGAAACGGAUGGGCUGUUUUCCUAAUGCCCUUGUUGCAUACAGAAUUUUGUUAACUAUUCCUGUAACAGUUGCAUCUGCAGAACGAAGCUUUUCCAAAUUGAAGUUGCUAAAGACCUACAUGCGCAGUACUAUGAAAUAAGAAAGGCUAAAUAGAUUGGCGACAAUUGCGCUUGAAAAUGAUCUUCUAGAGAAGAUUAAGUAUGAAGAUAUAAUUGAAGAUUUCAUUUCGAAGAAUACUAGACGAAUGAUGUUUUUUAAUGGAAGCUAAGAAGUUAUCAGUAAGUAAGAUUCGUCAUUUAAUCGUUUUGUACAAAUACUUAUGGUAUUACACGAGGAAGUCUACGUGCACUUUAGUUUUUUGCAUUUUAUAAAUAUAGGCCCCACUUUAUAUCUUGCACCAGGGCCACAAAAAUAUAGGUACGGGCCUGCUCCAACUCCACCCAGAACUGGCUCCACCUGGAGUUCUGGAGUGGAGCAGCUCCACCCAGAGUUGGAGUCAUGUCAAACAGGGGCUAACAAACCAAGUUCCAAGAAUUAACCGUUCGCUACUUCGCUGUCAGCCUGCUGGCUUGCAACCUGCGCCAGGCGCGAUGGCCUCCCCCGCUUUGCUCCUGUUGGGCCGGUUGGCCUGGCUGCUGGGCCUCUAGCACUGCUGCCUGGGCCGCCAGGCUUGUCUGGCCCGCGAGGCAAGCAGCUGGCCUCCCACUCCUGGGCCUGCAACCUGGUGAAGCACUCCCCUGGUGUAGCUGGGCCGUGACUUACCAAGCCAGCCUGUUGCUCCUACACGUGAUGGCCUGAUCCACUUGCUGCUUCCCUGUCACCUGCGCACACGAACAGGAAAGGAACGAAGAACAGAAACAACGCACACAAGAACAGCAAAGAACAAAGAACACGCUCCACUUCGAAUCACAAGAACUCCUUCGAUACUCCCCGGAUCAAGAUAAAACUUGAGACAAGGAUGCAAUACCACUAAAGCAAAUAGAUCCAUAAGACAAAUCUUAAAAAGCUCAAGCAUUCAUCGUAAAUUUUGGAGAAAACCGAAACCCUAACUCAAGAACAUGAUUCAGGAAAAACUCAAAAUCGAGCUGGAUUCGUGAGGGAUUUGGAGAGGGAUCACAAUAAGAAUGCUCCCUAAGAUCCUAGUAACAACUCCCUUCAACCCACCUCACGAGAUUCGGGCUCAAACAUGAUGAAUACAAAAUCUCAAAACAUAACUCCGAAAAUGGCAAAAAAGAAAAAUGUUCGGAAAUCAAAGAUUUAGCACGAUUUGAGACAACAAACAAAGUUGAAUUACGAGAACAUUUUUUAUACAAGAUGAGGACUAGCCUCCUCCCUUCAUCCACCCAUUAAUGAUGAAGAAAUCAAGAGAUAAAGAGUAAUUACCUCUCAUCUCCCUCUCUCCUCUCACUGAGCACAUGACAACCUCUAAGCAAGAUGAUAAUAAGUUGCUAAAACAAGAGAGGUGCUAAAAUAACCAGCUCCCCAUCCCUAUAUAUAGUCCGGGAUGAAUGACUAUACUACCCCUAACAUAAAAACUAGGAUAACUACCCACGCAGGGGUAUUUUAGUCCAAGUUUUUAUCCGCGCAUCGGACGGACACGCCGCCUUCACGACUUUACUUCGCCACGACGCAAACUUCACGAUGACGCCACGUGCCCUCCUUCUCGAAGCUCCGGCUGCACCAGGCUCGUCCUCAGUUUUGAGGACCAAACCGGAAAACCUGACUAUGCGGUGGUUUUAAGGCCCAAACCACCCCAAAACGUCCAUCUUCGCUUGGCCGCCACGUGAUCUCCUCGAUGUCGACGCAUGUCCAGCCUCCACCAAGCCUCUUGCUCGACUCGACCGACGCCGUCUCCAUCCCGUCAUGUCCUCUCGCCAUUCCGUGAACCAUGUGAACCGCCCAUGACGUCGCUCGGACUCCUCGGGUCCAUCGGUCCAAGCCUACUCGCAUUCAUCCUUCACCGCCCUUGGUCCAUCGGCACGAACCUUUUGCUUGACCUUCACCGCACGCUGUCAACCGCCACCUUGCAUCCUACACCUGCAAAGCAAGAGCAACAUCAAACCAACACAACGUUAUCAAUUACUCAUCAUCCAAGGGUGACCACCAUUGGUCCUUAGAAGGCAGGCAAGAUGUUUCCAUCUCGGCCUCUACCUUGUAUCUGGCUCGGGCUGAAGUUCUACGACGCCUAUGUUCAUCAUAAACAUGUGAAGAAGACAUGAGAGGAUAAAACAUCAGAAUCUCUAAAAAUAUUUGUAACUCGGAAAAAAACAUGAUGACCAUACCGUGUGCAUCAGACGGCCUAUAUGGCUAUACCCACAGCGGGGGUGGCCAAAUUCAUCAGCCAAAAUCAGACGCCUAUGUUCAUCAGGCCAAACGUGUGCACCCGACGCUAAUGUUCAUCAGGCAGGAUCGUUGUAUUGUGUCGAACACGCGCAUGGAUGAGCAUGUGCACACGACAGGAAACCAGACCACCCCAUAAGCAUUCACAUUCCAAUCAAAGUACCGCCGUGCGCCACCGCUUGCCGCCGUCCUCUGUGGCCCGUGCGCCGCCGCUAUAGUCAAAGUCGACCGCAGCCGUCGGAUCUAAAUCCGACAGUGGGAUCAGAUCUGACCCGGUCAGCAUACCGGUCAACCGCCGGUCAGCCGUGCCGCUUUUGCUAAAGAGUCCCUGAUCUUUCUAGUUUUGCAACCGCGGUCUAUCGCAGUUCAAAGAUAAUUAGAUCUAGAUCCUGUUUCUUUUGCUUUAGCCCUUGAAUUUCUGCAUAAUAGUGCCUACCGUCCUAGCCUCCAUCUUUUCAAUCGGAUAAGGCGCGGCCGCAUCACCCGGAGGAGGCGGAAGCAGUGGUGGCGGCCCAUAGUCCAUGGCUCCCUUCCCCUUCUCUGCUGAGCAGAGCAUGCGGAACUCCUGCCGGUGCCCGCCUUGUAGUCCCUACUCUUAUGGGUAAGCAGAUUGAUCUCCUAACUUUUUCGCUGAUGCGAUGAAAAUAAUUAUGGUAUGGCUUAACUUUUUCGGAUGACCAAAUGGUUUUUAUAUGUAUGGUGCUAAAUCGUUUGUUAUUGAAUCUAAAAUUCUUGUAAACAAGAUUUUUAUGGAUAUGAGAUUUUUAUUUUUUUAAAUACAUUUGUUCCACAUAGACAUCCUGAUUGUAAAUAGAAAAUCGGAGCUGCUAGCACCUGGACAUCUGAUGGGGAUUUUCUCAUCGUAUGCUCCGUCGCAACAGUGAAAAUGAACUUUAGCAAUGCUAGAAAAAGAUGUGUAUAAAAAUGACUCUUUUGUCCGAUUCGGGGAUAGAAAAACCCCGCUACAACAUAACACCAUGUUUCAUGCAAUAUCCACGAAGAGUGACGUCACUUAAAAACAAAGUUUGCAACAUCAAAAUUUACAUUUUACAACAUUUUAAAACAUAUAGUCGUAAUAUAUUAAAAAUACUAUUGCAACAUUCUAAAAGUAUAUUUUUAUUGAAAAUAUCAGUAAAAUAAAUAUAAUUAGUUAGUUAGACUAGAAAGGUGCAACAUGAAAAAAUAACUAUUGAAACAUCUAAGAUACAUUUUUGCAACAUUCCAAAAUAGUUGUUGAAACUUUCCGUCACAUAUCUAACAUCCCGAAAAUAACCACCUCAACAUCACAUAUUAACUGAAAUCCCUUAUAACAUCACCAUACAACUAUCGCAACAAAAACACACACAAAAAAUUCCCAUGGCAGCAUCCGUCCUUGGAGUUGGACGGUCUCCCCUGCUGCAAUAUCAUCACGUGUUUAUCGUGACAAAAUCACACGUUAAGAAUUCCCACCACAACAUUAUCGCUGGGUUGGGGCGUACGAGUUUUUGUUGAGGCACGGACGUCCCGACCCAAGUAUAACCGAUAGAAAAUUAGUCUUCGCAAGAUUUCUAUGAGCAUAAGUUUUUAUUUUACUAUUACGUGCAUCUCCACUAGUACAUGUAAGUGUGCUACAUGGAUACUAGAUAACCACUCCGUACAAGUUCAUUCCAUCAGAGAGGUAGAGCAUUGGGCUGCGCCACGUGCCCCCAUCUGUACACCUCCUCCUACUUCUCGAAAAAGGCUUGGGAGCAUCAUCAUGAUCGCCGAAAUAACAGAACCAACAGCACAAGCAGCGCCCAUAGCAUUGAUUUCGGGCUGACCGCGAUACUAUGCACGAACCUCUUGCUGGAAAACCUGCAGGGGAUUUUGUGAUCACUUUGAUUUGAACAAGCAGUAUAAUGCAUGAACCAUUUGAGUAUUUGACUGCAAUGUAUAUAUGCUCUGCUGUUGUAAAUAAAGUGUACUGACGAGAAGUACUGAACUUACUGUGCCAUCCUCCCAGACGCCUUGAUGCUCCCGGUUCGUCCAGCAGGAAGGGCAGGGUUUCGCCAUUGCUCCUGCAACGCUCAGAUCAAUAUGGUGUACGUGAUGUAAACCAAGCCCAGCCAACCUUAUAUUGCGUUUUGUUUUGUUUAUUAUCUACUACAACACGAAGGGAUCGGAAGCGUCUAGCAUAUAUUCAUAAAUCUAUGUGUAAUUUAAUUAAUGCAGCUGGUACUAAUAACAGGAUGUGGACAUGUCGUUAGUAGUGACAGUUUUCUCACCCAACACACCCUAUCACUACGGGAAACAGUAAAGUUGCCGAGUAUUUUCUAUUUGCCGAGUGUUUUAUCUCGGGCACUCGGCAAAGGAGGUAUUUGCCGAGUGUCAAAUUGAAAACACUCGGCAAACAUUAUACACUCGGCAUAAAUCCUCUUUACCGAGUGUCAAACUGAAAACACUCGGCAAACUCGUAACCGACACCCAGCAAACAACUGAUACUCGGCAAACCUUAACCACAUGACCGGCACGUGCGACGUCCGUUAGGGGGGACGUGCCGGACGUUAGUCCUUUGCCGAGUGUCGGUUGCAGACACUCGACAAAGUUACAAGUUUGCCGAGUGCCACGGUCGACACUCAGCAAAGACAUGUGUUUGCCGAGUGGUUUUCUACGGCACUCGGUAAACAUGAAUGUUUGCCGAGUGUUUUUUGCGACACUCGGCAAAACCAAAAUAAUUUUUCCCUCCUCCACCCUCCACACUUUUUGUACUCCCCACGUAUGACAUUUGGCACUGCAUGUUAGAAGGUGGUCUAUUUCUUAACUUGUUUGCUAUAUUUAAUGAAUUAAUUUCAUUUAGAGUAAUUUGUUGAUUUAAGUCAAAUUUGAACUGCAAGUUAUUGGAAUAAUGGAAUAAUAUGAGUGAAAAAAUCAUAUUCAUGUUAAUGAGUCCAAAUUGAGGUCUCAUCCGGGAAAUGAAAAGAAAUUUCGAACAUUUUGUUAAGAAAACACGACCACGAACGUGUGGCCGAAUGAUUUUUUAUUUCUCAAAAAUAUAAACGAAGUCUGAAAAUCACGAGAUUUGCCAAGAUGCCAUGAUUUCAUAUAUGGAGGCUGUGGUAAAAAAUUGAGAAGGUUUCGCACAAAUUUUGACAUAUGAUGCUUAGAAAUCGAAGCAUCUCAGGAGAGGAUUCGUAGAAGUUGGAAAGAUCCGGUAAGAUUUUGAGUCGAAUUGAUACUUGAAUUUGGGAUUGAGUUCAAAAUUUUUUGUAUAGGCCAUAGACAACAUAGAUUGGUUCAUGUCAAAUUUUGGGAAUUUUUCGGAUCCGUUUGAUAAUUUUUAUUUAUUAAUUGCAAUUAUAUAAAUUUAAUAGAUAUAAAUUCAAUUUGACCUAUAAAUCCAUGAAAUAAUGGAAUAAUAUGAGUAGAAAAAUGAACUAGGCAUUGUUUAGUGAUUUUGACUAGGUUUUUGCAAAGUUUACGGACAAAAAAUUACUAAAACACGUUGUAAUAUUAGUAAAGGUUUACACAUGAAAUAUAAGCGUACUUUGCCGAGUGUCCUGCGGAAACACUCGGCAAAGGAGGCUACUUGCCGAGUAUCGCAUCGAGGCACUCGGAAAAAGUACGUUGCUUGCUGAGUGUCACAUCGAAACACUCGGCAAACAUUCCGCGGGCCCACCACCAGGCAGCAACACCGUUUGAAAAUCCGAAAAAUAAAUUAAAAUAGGGCCUUUGCCGAGUGCCCGCGAUCUGGCACUCGGCAAAGCCUGGAAGUUAAGCACCCGGGCUGGCUGCCCGCCCUAACUCACACACACAAGCACACACCCACACACCACACACACACGCCUCCCACCCGCCCCCGGCCCCCCGUGCCCCCGGCCGCCGGUGCCGCGCGCCCCCAGCCGCCGCCCCCAACCCUCGAUGCCGCGCCGUGCUCGCCCCCAGUGCGCCCCCGGCCCCCGGCGUGCCCCGCUGGCCCCCUUAUCGCUCUCAGCCGGUAAUUUUUCAAUAUUUGCUGUUCAAAUUAAUUAGAAAAUAAAUUAGUAAUUAGGAAAUGAUAGGAUGAAUUAGAAAAUGACUUGUAGAUUAGAAAUUUGAAAAAUGAUUAGAAAUUAUAAAAGGGUAGGAUGACUAGGGAGGUGAUAGGAGUUUCUUUUAAAAAUUAGAAGAGGUUGAAUGAUGUAUGGAUUAUUUGCUUCCUUUUGAGCUGUGUGUGGUUGUCGGCCAUCGUGCCGUUAAAUUGGAGUGGAUAUGGUUGUCGGCCAUCAUGCUGUUUGAUUUGAUGCAGGUUUUAGAAACCUCCUCGUGCAGGGGAGGUGCUGCCAAAAUUACGACUUGACAGUUUUAUAUUUCUUUUCUUGCAGGAGAGGCUACGUUACCGUCCACAACUCGUCACUUUGCAGGAUAGCAAGGUGAUGCAUCCUACACCUCUCUUUUCCGUAAGAUGUUCAUAUAUCAUGUAACCUAUGUAGGCCUCUCCUGUUCGAAAGAGAUACGGUUGGAAAUAUGCAGAUCUUUGCAUAUCUAUAACCGUAUCUGUUUUGAAUUGUCCACGUUUUUUGGACAACCCGAGGAUGUGUAGGUGGGUUUAGUAUCCAUGGUCUACUCCGAUCCGAGAUAGAGUUUCGGCAGCACCUCCCUAUUGUUCUCCGGAUACACAAUCUCCCAUCAAGGACGUGUAUUUGGAGAACAGCGGGGAGGUGCUGCCGAAAUUCUAUCUUGGGUCAGAGUAGACCAUGGAUACUAAACCAACCUACACUCGGCAAAUCUUAAUUUUUUACCGAGUGCCUCGAGGCCAACACUCGGCAAACUUUAGUUUUAUGCCGAGUGUCUGCCAUCUGACACUCGGCAACCUUGCCGUUUACCUGGACGCCGUCACCGCCAUUGUCGUCGAGUGUUUAUUUUCGCCGAGUGUCUAUUUGCCGAGUGCGCGAUGUUUGACACUCGGCAAACAUCUGUUUGCCGACGCAAAAUUUGCCGUGUGCUGAAUGCUGAGUGUUACACUCGGCAAACCCUUUGCCGAGUGUUUUUGGGUCUUCGCCGAGUGCCUCUGGCACUCGGCAACUUUACUGUUUCCUGUAGUGUAUGUAGCUGAGAAACAAACCUUCUGUUUCAAAUUCUAGAUCGUUUAAACUUUUCUAGGUUCAUAGAUAUUAGUAUGCAUCCAGCAUCUAGACCUACAUUAUAUAGCACCUACAAAAACCAAAACGACCAACAAUUUGGAAUGGAGGAAGUAAUAAUCAAACGUAUCCAGCAAAGCAAGAAAUUGUGUAUGGGAAAGCAUGCAAGCCCUAACCGUGUGCAUUAGGUGACCCAUGCCUACCGCAGGGACAGCCGGUGAUGAUCCCAGAUGCGGAAGGAGAGGUGCAACGCCUUGGUGCGGCGCACGGUGGCCGAUCGGCCGGAGUAGCAGCUGCGCGGAGACGCUGGAGUGGCAUAGCACUUCUUAUUCGAUUUGAUCUGAUAGGUUAAUUUGCUUUGGUUUGGGUUUUCCGGAUCGGGGAGCUGGUUGUGGCUCUUUGUGAUUGGGGUGCAUAGUAGGGGGAUUGGGCGCGGGUACUUAAAUUAGGGGUUAAGUAUGAUCUGCGCUGUUGUAUUCUUGUUCUCGAUGAGCAUCAUUGAAUGCUAGGCUGGUGAUGAAGAGAUGGUACUACGCCAGUCGUCAAUCUUUCCAUGAAAGCACUACUAGAGAACUCGGUAUUAGUAUCGAUUCGUAGACUGCAUAUCUUCCAAAAAUGCAUCCGGGAUUAAUCCGUCGAGAUAAAAGGGGGGUCUUUUAUCACGGGUCCCUUAACCGGGAUAUCAAACCCUCAUUUAGUCCCAGUUUGUAAAACCAACCGGGACUAACGAGAUUGCCACGCUAGGCGGUGGACAGACCCCUUUAGUCUCGGUUGGUGUUACAAACCGGGACUAAAGGUCGCCUCUUUAGUGACGGUUUGUAAAACAAACCGGGACUAAAGUGCGUGCGUACAGCACCAUGCAGGCGCCUGCAUGGCGCCUAUAAUUUCAUGCAUAUCUCACGUACACCUUUAGUUAACCUUUAGUAGUUGAGAACCUUUUUUUAAUGAAAUCAAUCAAACUAAUAUUUAAACGAAUCAAACAAUUAUUUAAAUGAAUCAAACCAGUAUUUAUACAAAUACUAUACAAUUCUUAGCAUACUAUAUAUGCAUAUAAAUCUAAUUAGCGUACGUAUUACAUAUAUAUACAAAAUAAAUCAAACUACAUAUAUAUCUAUGAUGAUCUUCCCAUCGAGGUGCUGGGAGCACCUAAUUUUCAUCCAUGGUAAUAAAAUUCUCCUUUUGAAUUUACCACCUCGUCCACCAGGAAUAAAAUGAGACCUUCACAUAUUACCGCUACUCUUUCCUUCUUCAAAAGUCCCAAUUGAAUAUUCCACAUCUGUAAUUUGGAUACAUAUAUGUGAAUUUUACACCAACAAUUGUAGAAAAUAAAUAACUAUUAAUAGUUUUAUUCCACAUCUUUCCUUUACUAAUGCCCGUUCAUAGUUCGAUAGUAGUGGUUGACUGUUCUUGGUUUGUUCUUGUGUCUUGAUGAAUUUAUAUAAUUCUCUUCGAUCUACUGGCGAUGGCUCCAUCUCCCUUGCUUUUCUUAAUUCUCUCUGUUCCCUCAACCACUCACUAGCUUGCACUUGGAUUUCGGUCCAGCGUUCCUCAUGAGCCAUUGCCUCUCAGCGUUCCUCAGAAGCCACCUCAGGCUCCUUUGUUUUCUUCUUAUGCUGUCUUGGCUUGGGAGGCAGUAGUCGUGACUUCUUAAAUGGUGCUCUUAGUCCCGGCGAAGGUGAUUGUGGAGGGGUGUUGUUGUCGUCAUCGUCGCUCCAACCACCAGGAUGUGGUGGAGAUGGAGACCUUGAUCAUGGAGCAGGUUGUGGUGGAGAUGAUGGUCUGGAUGUUUGAGGAGAUGGUCGCUGCUGUGGAUUUACGGAGAGUGGUCUUGAGCUCUGAGGAGGUGCCUCCACGCCGGGGAUGAUGAUGUAGCGUUUGCGCCAUAGAAUGACCCCCUGAACCACUUCUCCUAGUGUUGUUGACCCGUCGCCUGCUGGGAAGUCGAGCUCGAGGCCUUCAAAUUGGCUAUCAGGGAUUCUCUCUACGCCAACACUAGCAUAGCCAGGUGGAAGCUCCAUACCAUGGCAUGUAUGAUUUGGCAGGAUUGGCAAUGUACUCCCAUACGCCACCUGGAUAUAUAAAAGAAAUGAUGUUCUUAAACUUCAACUUGCCAAAGCACUCCCAAGGCUCCGGUGCAUAAAUAUUAUGUAUAUAUACGUACCUUAAUGCUGACAUUGCGGAUCGGUGUAUGCAGCUCACAUGUGGUGCAUUGCGUGAUGGCAUCCACAGGGCAUAGUUGCUCUUCCACGGGUAAUCCUGGCGUAUGUGGCUUAGGGAGCCCUAUGGACGCAGCUGCUCCCGAGGUGUUGAGAAGGGCUGCCAACUGCGUCGGCCAUUCGUCUACUGCCUCCCUCCUGCAUUCUUACUUCUACAGAUUGUAGUUUGGAUUCUAUCGUGCGCCGCCAACUCUCAUCCUCUUGCUCCUUUCUUCGAUUUUGGCUUGUGUACUUGUCCAAGUCACCUUGGAAUGCGAACUUCCACAGAACAAGCCCGAACCCUCAGGUACGUCCUGGGUGUUCGGGAUUCCUGAGGGCCAUUGUGAGCUCAUCAUUCUCUCGGCACACCGUAAACAUCCCAUCCUUAACAUCUUUAAUAAUCUUGUCAAGCUUUGUGGCCGCUUCACGUAGCAGGUCAUCGAAGACCACCAUCCCAUCAUCUAGUUUUAUCUCACCUCCAUGAGCGUAUGUUCAUGCUGAAAAUCAGCCGAUGAUCCUCAGCGUCGGACACACGACCCGAGAGAAUCUGCUUAACUCCUGUUCGGGUUAUCGCACCGGUGCGGUUCGCGCGGCGUGCCAGUCAAUCUGACUUGUUGAUUGAUAAGGAAAUAAAAAUAUUAAAUUCCAAGGGCUCCGAUCGGCUAGAGUUCCGAUCUGUCUUUAAAAGCGUGUCGGCGAAUCGGCCGAUUUACUGUAGAGGUGACCAGCUAUAAAACAGCCGAUACUGUGUAGCGAUUGUAAAGAAAAGCUACUAGAGCAAACUAAACAACGCUAGGGAAACAACACUUGGGAUAGAUCUAAUCGGCUGUAUGACGACAAAGAACGAAAGCAAUAAAAGCCGACAGUUCGUAUCUCAAGUUGGAUAACUGGUAAUAAAAACUAAAACAAUAGGUAGAAUCUACGAUUCUAGUUGAUAUCGAUCACUGGUGAAUAAAUCUAAAUGAAACAACAGCGAUGCGCCCGAAGUUAAAGCUUAGAUAUUACUCGGUAAGCGGAACUUACAGAAUCGGCCGAAGAUUGUGUUGAUGUAGCCCUGCCAACCCGUACGAACUCGUGAAAGAAAAAGGUAUUCUGGCAAGGUCGCCGACUUGAAAAUAAAGUACGAGGAAAAAGUAUAUUGGUUGUAUUAAUUGAUGUGUUCUCUUUACAAACCUCUAGAGGUGGCUAUUUAUAGCCUGUUACAACUGAUUUUCUAACCGACUAGGAUCUAUCUCUAAUUUUAUAUGAUAACAAACACAACUCGUAUCGGAGUUGGUUAUCAUAUCCCCACGGGCCAAUCUCCUUCUUCAGCCAAUCUUUUCUCCGGCCCACCUUAGGCCCAUACUGACCAAGCCGCUCUAGCUCCCAAUCGGCCAACCUUUACCGACCCCUUUUGUCAAUCGGCCGAAACACUGUAGCUUCAAUUGGCUGAUUCCCAACUGUAGCUUUUAGCUCGCCGCAUCGACACGUCUUUUUCCUUCUUUUGACGCCGAUUCAAAACACGUGUCAAAAUCCGGCGUCAACAGCGUAAUACCAAUUUUUCGAUCGUUCGGGCUAAUCAAUUGUUCCUGGUACAAUACCCCGCUCAAUCAGAUCUUUUUCCAAUCUGAUUCCAUUUGGGAAUUGCUUUGGCGUAACCACCUCACCCUAGCUUAUGAUGGUACUCCUUCCCCCUAGUAUUGCCUGUGUUCUGGGUGAACUUGUUCUUACUAUCUUCGGUGCUCUUGUAUUGUACAAAUGCCUCCCAGUGGUCCUUACACUAUGGAUACACAUUAAAAUCUAGAGUUCGGCCCUUCUUAAUGUAGGUGGUAUCCAACAUCUUCUUGAAUGUCUGGAAUUGUGUGGCCAUCUUCUUCAGGGUCCACGCUUUCACAUCAUUUUCAAUAUAUCCGUUGAGAAAUGUGAAAUAUUUCUUAACUUCUUCCCAUAGCAUAUUCUUUUCUGGUUCCUGGAGCGCAUAUGGAUUAGUCGUUUUGCCCUUCCAUUCCCUUAUGCUGAUGGGCAUGUUCUCCCUUAUGAUUGCCUCGAUCUGACUCACGUACUGUGUUGCCACUUUUUGGGGAGCAACCGGCCUGCCCUCUUUUGUGACUUUCGUGAUGAUAGCCUUUUUUGCUCCAGUUUUCACCUUGGAAGGACCUCGGGGCUUCGAACGACGGUUCAUCGAUCCAUAGGGCUAACAGUUCAAGAUUCAUUAAUUAAUUAGUACAUAGUAAUAAUGAAUAACAUCCUAUAUUAUUUAUAGAGAGGGUUAAAAUAUGAUCUAUACCUCGUCGGAACCUUCUGCCAUAGUAACGUUUUGCUGGGGCUCGGGCUCUUCAUUGCCUUCGGCAGACAGGUUGAGAAACAUGUUUGCCUGGCUACCUUCUUCAUCGGUGUACGCUAUGGGAAGGUUGGAACUACUAUCACCAGCAAUAAUCCGCUCCAUUAGAUACCUUCUGGCCUCGUCGUCUACCAUCGAUCUCAGCUACUUUGUACAUGAAAUCAUAUAUAGAACAACCAUGAAAAAAAAUUCAUUUCAACAAUUUUUUUUGAAAUAUACAAAAUUUACUACAUUUUUGAAAUAUACAAAAUGUAAUAUACAAAAUGUACUAUACAAAAUAUAAUAUAAAAAAUGUAACAUACAAAAUGUAGUAUACAAAAUGUAAUAUACAAAAUAUACUAUGCAAAAUGUAACAUACAAAAUAUAAUAUACAAAAUUUACUAUACAAAAUGUAAUAUACAAAACGUACUAGGCAAAAUGUAAUAUAAAAAAUGUAACAUACAAAAUAUAAUAUACAAAAUGUACUAUGCAAAAUUUAAUAUAAAAAAUGUAACAUACAAAAUGUAAUGUACAAAAUGUAAGUGAACCGAGCAUGAAGUAGCUAACCUUCACAAAACAUGGGCUCCGCUCAUUUAUUGUUGUUAAGCUUUGUUUUAUACUUUAGAGAGGGAGAAAAAUAAGUUUGUUUGUUGUUAAGCAUGUAGAUGAUUUGUAUUUAUAUAUAUUUUUGAGCUACAAUGUGAUGGAUAUGUAUAAAUUAGCCAUAUAAAUUAUAGGUGUAAUUUCAUACUUUAGUACUUUUCAGAUAGAGGUAUGGAAUUAGCCAUUUUUAGAAUAAGUAAAUUAUGUGGGAACUAUUGAAUUUUUUAAUAGUUUAGUUAUUUGAAAAUCAAAUAUGGGCUAAAUAAUUUAUGUAUUUCUAUGUAAACUUUCAGCAAUAUUUGAGUUUGUGAUACUGAUGUUAGAAAUUAUCAAGAAGAUUCUUCCUGAGAAUAAUGAAUUGCCAUCCACAACAUAUGAAGCUAAACAGAUUGUUUGCCCUCUGGGAUUAAUGAUAGAUGAUAGUGAUGCAGUAAAAUAAUUAUUUAAGAAGGUAAUAUAACUAGUGUAGAAUUAAUGAGUCAUUCAAGCUUAUUGUAAAUAUAAUUGCUAAUUGAAUAUAUUUUUGCAUGUUUGAAAUAUGUAAAGUUUUAAUUUCUACUUCAUGAAAUCCAGCGAAACCCGGCGAGAUCCGAUGCCUACAAGUUCCACCCGGCGAGUAUAAAUUUUCAAAUAGAAGCAAAUAGAAAUAGUGUAGAAUUUAUGACUAGUUAAAACUUAUUGUAAACAAACUUGCUAAUUUAACAUAUUUUUGCAUGUUUGAAAUAUGUAAAUUUCUUAUUUUUUGUUUCCUGAAAUCCAGUGAAAACAAAAAUAGAAUAAAUUUCCAAAUAGAAGCAAAAAUAAAUCGUAUAGAACAUAUGACUAGUUAAAACUUCUUGUAAACAAACUUGCCAAUUUAAUAUAUUUUUGCAUGUAUGAAGUAUGUAAAUUUCUUAUUUUUUGCUUCUUGAAAUCCAUUGAAAACAUAAAUCGAAUAAAUUUCCAACUCGAAGCAAAAAGAAAUAGUAUAGAAUUUAUGACUAGUUAAAACUUAUUGUAAACAAACUUAUUAAUUUAAUAUAUUUUUGCAUGUUUGAAAUAUGUAAAUUUCUUAUUUUUUGCUUCCUGAAAUCCUGUGAAAACAUAAAUCGAAUAAAUUUCCAAAAACCAGUCGGGAGAUGAAAAACAGGAGAAGGUCCCCAUUUAUCCCGGUUAUAAAGUAGAACCGGCAUAAAAGGGGAUUUUUCGAUUCCCGCCUAGAAGUACCCAUUUAUCCCGGAUGAUAAUAAACCGAGAUAAAAGGGGAGGGCCUUUUAUCGCGGGUGAUCAUAAACCGAGAUAAAAGGCCCCCCCCUUUUAUCUCGGUUUGUAUUAGAAACCGAGGUUAAAUGUCCUGUAAUCCAGGUUUCAAUUACAAAGCGGGAUUAAAGUUUUAGCAUCUUCUACAAGCCCCCGCGACCAACACUUAGCAAAAUUUUUACUCCUCGGCCUCGUCCCACCCGUCGCCGGCAUCCGCCGUUGCCGCUCCCCGUCGCCACCGCCGGCCCAUCCUACUCGCUGGCCUCCUCCAUCUCCGUCGCCGCCGCCAUCAUCUUCGCCCGCAAUCAUCGCCGGCCUCCUCCUCUGUCCCUGUCGCUGCCGCCGGCGCGUCCAUCCCUAUCGCCGUGACCUCCGCGCGUGCCCCUCAUCGCGCACCAGCGCCACCUCCUCCCCGUCGUCGUAGCUGUCCCCAUCGCCGCGACCGCUGUCCCCAUCGCCAGUCGGCCGGCCGCCUCCCCCGUCAUCGCCACGCAUCCUCAUCGCCAACGCACCCACCUCCAACUCCGGUCGUCCCCCUGGCCCGAAUUAGUUUUAGAAAUUUGGUAGAUUACUUCUAAUUGUUUGUGGAAUAUAGUUGUAUACUACUAAUUAAUGCUUAGAAAUUAAUUGAACUUUGGUACAAAUUUUUACAAAUUUUUGUUGAAAUUCUUAGAAAUUAGUUUUUAUAUUACAUUUUACAUAGUACAUUUUGUAUAUUACAUUUUGUAUAUUUCAAAAAAAAUUGUUGAAAUGAAUUUUUUUCGUGGUUGUUCUAUAUAUGAUUUCAUGUACAAAGUAGUUGAGAACGAUGGCAGACGACGAGGCCAGAAGGUAUCUAAUGGAGCGGAUUAUUGCUAGUGAUAGUAAUUCCAACCUUCCCAUAGCGUACACCGAUGAAGAGGGUAGCCAGGCAGACAUGUUUCUCAACCUGUCUGCCGAUGGCAAUGAAGAGCCCGAGCUCCAGCAAAAUGUUAUCGUGGCAGAAGGUUCCGACGAGGUAUAGAUCAUAUUUUAACCCUCUCUAUCUAUAAUAUAUGAUGUUAUUCAUUAUUACUAUGUACUAAUUAAUUAAUGAGUCUUGAAAUGUUAGCUCUCUGGAUCGAUGAAUCUUCGUCCGAAGCCACUGAGGUCCUUCCAAGUUGAAGACUGGAACAAAAAAGGCUAUCAUCACGGAAGUCACAGAAGAGGGCAGGCCGGUUGCUCCCCAAGAAGUGGCAACACAGUACGUGAGUCAGAUCGGGGCAAUCGUAAGGGAGAACGUGCCCAUCAGCAUAAGGGAAUGGAAGGACAAAAUGACUAAUCCAUACGCGCUCUAGGAUACAGAAAAGAAUAUGCAUUGAGAAGAAGUUAAGAAACAUUUCACAUUUCCCGACGGAUAUAUUGAAAAUGAUGUGAAAGCGUGGACACAGAAGAAGAUGGCCACACAAUUCCAGACAUUCAAGAAGAUGUUGGAUAUCGCCUACAUUAAGAAGGGCCGAACUCCAGAUUUUAGUGUGUGUCCAUAGUGUAAGGACCACUGGGAGGCAUUUGUAAAAUACAAGAGCACCGAAGAUAGUAAGAACAAGGUCACCCAGAACACAGGCAAUGCUGGGGGGAAGGAGUACCAUCAUAAGCUAGGGCGAGGUAGUUACGCCAAAACAAUUCCCAAAUGGAAUUAGAUGGAAAAAGACCUGAUUGAGCGGGGUAUCAUACCAGGAACAAUUGAUUGGCCCGAACGAUCAAAAAAUUGGUAUUACGCUCAUGAAGGUGAGAUAAACCUAGAUGAUGGGACGCUGGUCUUCGAUGACCUGUUAAGUGAAGCGGCCACAAAGCUUGACAAGAUUAUUAAAGAUGUUAAGGAUGGGACAUUGAUGGUGUGCCAAGAGAAUGAUGAGCUCACAAUGGCCCUCGGGAAUCCCGAACACCCAGGACGUACCCGAGGGUUCGGGCUUUUUCUGUGGAAGUUCGUAUUCCGAGGCGACUUGGACAUGUACACAAGCCAGAACCAAAGAAAGGAGCAAGAGGAUGAGAGAUGGCGGCGUACGAUAGAAUCCAAACUGCAGUCAUUAGAAGUAAGAAUGCAGGAGGGAGGCAGUAGACGAAUGGUUGACACAGUUGCUAGCCCUUUUCAACACCUCGGGAGCAGCUGUGCAUCCACAGGGCACCCUGAGCCAUAUACGCCAGGAUUACCCGUGGAAGAGCAACUAUUCCUUGUGGAUGCCAUCACGCAACGCACCACAUGUGAGCUGCAUACACCGAUCAACAACCUCAGCAAUAAGGUACGUAUAUAUACAUAAUAUUUAUGCACUGGAGCCUCGGGAGUGCUUUGGCAAUUUGAAGGUUAAGAACAUCAUUUCUUUUAUAUAUCCAGGUGGCGUAUGGGAGUGCAUUGCCAAUCCUGCCAAAUCAUACAUGCCAUGGCAUGGAGCUUCCACCUAGCUAUGCCAGUGUUGGCGUAGAGAGAAUCCCUGAUGGCCAAUUUGAAGACCUAGAGCUCGACUUCGCAACAGGCUUCGGGUCAACAACACUAGGAGAAGUGGUUCCCGAGGUCAUUCUAUGGCGCAAAUGCUACAUCAUCAUCCCCGGCGUGGAGGCACCUCCUCAAAGCUCAAGACCACUCUCCGCAAAUCCAUAGCAGCGACCAUCUCCUCAAACAUCCAGACCAUCAUCUGCACCACAACCUGCUCCACGAUCAAGGUCUCCAUCUCCACUAUAGCCUGGUGGUUGGAGCGACGAUGACGACAACAACACCCCUCCAUGAUCACCUUCGCCGGGACUAAGAGCACCAUUUAAGAAGUCCCGACUACCGCCUCCCAAGCCAAUACAGCGUAAGAAGAAAACAAAGGAGCCUGAGGUGACUUCUGAGGAACGCUAGGAGGCAAUGACUCAUGAGGAACACUGGACCAGAAUCCAAGUGCAAGCUAGUGAGUGGUUGAGGGAAUAGAGGGAAUUAAGAAAAGGAAGGGAGAUGGAGCCACCGCCAGUAGAUCGAAGAGAAUUAUAUAAAUUCAUCAAGACACAGGAACAAGCCAAGAACAGUCAACCACUACUAUCAAACUAUGAACGGGCAUUAGUAAAGGUUGAUGAGAAGAAAAAAAGGAAAAAAGUCGAGCUACCAGCUACACCGCCAAGUGAACCGAAAUGGACCUUUGAGCUAGGCAUGCCUAUUGUUAGCCCUGAUUCGCUAAAGAAGCUAUCAACGAAGAUGUACGAAUUCCAUCAAUGGUACAUGAAGUUGUCUGCCGACGAGAGGGAGAUGUUGGGCCUUAAGAUAAAACCGAUAGAUUUUCAUGGCGAAGGCGAGGCAGUCCUGUGGCUACGAUUCAAGGAUAUAUACGAAGUGUACCAUCAUGGUGCCCUAGACGUCUCUCUGAUGAGCGCUUGGACUCUGUAAGUGUCCGUUUAUAUGUACAUGUAAAUUUUGACUCAUAUCAUUUUUUUGCAUGCGUUCACCGUACUAAUUAACUUUAUCUUUCAUUUUAUAUAGGAUGCUAAUUCGGAUGGGCCGACAUGAAGCGUACCUCCAUAUUGGCUUCAUGGAUCCAUCCAUAGUGAAGCAAGCCCAGAUACGAGAUUUUCCAGACAAAAUGUUGCUCGCAGUAUACAAUUCCUUAGACAGAUAAAAAUUAAAGGAUCACAUACUACUUCCAUACAACUUCAAGUAAGUGUGUGUAUACCGUCUAUAUUCGUUUUCUUUUUCCUUAUCUGAUUAAUGUUAGUUACCUCUAAUAUAUAUGAACAUUUACAUACACAGCUUCCACUGGAUCCUCAUUAUUAUUAACAUUGAUUGAAGUCAUGUCACUGUCUUCGAUUCGUUGAGGAGAGAUCUGAAGGAGUAUCAAGACGUGCAACACACGCUAGACAUGUACUAAUUCUGGACCUCUAUCUCUAUACAAAAUUUUGUUUCCUAAAUUUUAACCUAACACUAUAUCAUUCAUUAUUUUAAUUUGCAGAGCAUGGAGAGAAUUCAUCAAGGCAGAUAGAUCAGGUCAAUUCAAAGAAAAACUUACAUGGAGAACAGACUUCCCGGUACGUAUGAAGUUUGCACAUUUUGUACAUUCUAUAACACGAAUAUUUAAUAACUUAAUUAUUUUUUCCCACUACAUUGCUUAAGAUAGGAACCUGGGAAUGAUAAUCUAUGUGGUUACUAUGUCUGUGAGCACAUGCACAAUUUAUUGGGACCCAAUACCACCAAGGCCACGGAGCACGAAUUUAAAGUAUGUAAAAUAAAACUAUUAAUAGUUAUUUAUUUUCUACAAUUGUUCGUGUAAAAUUCACAUAUAUGUAUCCAAAUUACAGAUGUGGAAUAUUCAAUUGGGACUCUUGAAGAAAGAAAGAGUAGCGGCAAUAUGUGAAGGUCUCAUUGGAUUCCUGAUGGACGAGGUGGUAAAUCCACAAGAAGAUUUUCAUUACGAUGGACGAAAAUUAGACGCUCCCAGCACCUCGACGGGAAGAUCAUCGUAGAUAUAUAUAUAUAGUUUGAUUUAGUUUGUAUAUAUAUAUAUAAUAUGUACACUUAUUAGAUUUGUAUAUAUAUAUAUAUAGUACACUAAGAAUUGUAUAGUAUUUGUAUGAAUACUUGUUUGAUUCAUUUAAAUACUUAUUUGAUUCGUUUAAAUACUAGUUUGAUUGAUUUUAUUAUAAAAAAAAGUUCUCAACCACUAAAGGUUAACUAAAGGGGUACGUGAGAUAUGCACAAAAUUAUAGGCGCCAUGCAGGCUUGCAUGGCGCUGUACGCACGCACUUUAGUCCCGGUUAGGCGACCUUUAGUCCCGGUUUGUAACACCAACCGGGACUAAAGUAGGAUCUUAUAUCCCGGUUGAGGGACCAGUGAUAAAAGAUCCCCCUUUUAUCUCGACGGAUUAAUCCCGGAUGCAUUUUCGGAAGAUAUGCAGUCUACGAACCGGUAUUAAUACCGAGUUCUCUAGUAGUGCUGGAUGAUGUAAGUGCCUUGACUCUUUUUAUGUAGCACGGAGAUGCUUAAUAUGACUCUACAUUAUAUUUGCUUUUGUGUCUGCGAUCUGUCACACAAAUUUUGAUUGCAUAAUGUUUUUGAGAUUCAUUAGGGUUGUUCUUUGGUUCCCACUUGUACCUGCAGAAUUAUUGUUUCAAGAGAGAUGUUUUAAUUUAGCCGAGUUGGUCAGUGUAAGCUUCUUCAUCCCUUGCCAACAUUUCAGCGCGUACAAGCAUUCAGCUACAAUAGGAUCACCAGUAACCUCAGGAAAACCACGACCCGACGGGUUUUCUGUGGUGAACAAGCUUCCCUUCUCUUGCACUCCCUCCAUUAUAUUCUCAAAUUCUCAAAUAUAAAUCUUAACCCCUUUUUCCUUGUACAGGCUUAGCAUCACAGUGCAAACCCUCCGUUCUUCAAAUUAAUGUAAAUCUUCAUCCUUUUUUCCUUUAUAAGCUUAGCAUCACAACCCCAGAUUUGGUACUCACAAGUUGUCCACCAGAACAAUCGAAUCUUUAUUUGGUAUGGCGCUCCACAGUGACCACACCUUUAGCCAUGAGUCGGAGCUGCUGGAGGAUGGAGCAUGCAUAUUUGAGAAUGUCGUGCUUUUGACUACUCCUAUUGAGAUGGAUUUUUAGGAUGCUCUCCGCAUCAAAUUCGAGCAAAACUGUCGCGAAUGAGCACCUCAUUCCCAUCCCAGGUUGCUCUCCAAUCUUCUACUUGUGGAUGAUCCAAUGCAACUGGCUAGAGGUAGCUGAUCCUUGCCGUAUCCAAUCGCAUCAUAUAUAACCACAGGUCUACAGAUCAGGCCCGGCAGAAUGCACAGUGCUCCCAUCACCUGAGCAAGCAGCUAAUUAAACCUUGCCGAGCAAUUACCACACAUGGCUGCUGGCGAGACGACGACACCGCCGUUCAGUUCCGUGCACGUGAACAGGCGCCUGGCCACCGCCAACCGCCUCAUGGCGGCCGUCCACGCAGCGCUCGCCGCCGCGGCCAUCGCCCACCGCGCCCUGCACCUGCAUCAGCUCAGCGGCGGCGUGGCCCGCAACGCCGCCAUGGUCGCGGCGGACCUGACGCUCCUGUUCCUGUGGACGCUGUCGCAGUCGGGCCUGUGGCGGCCCGUCUCGCGCGCCGCGUUCCCGGACCGGCUGCUGGAGUCCCGGCGGCGCGGGGACCUCCCGGCCGUGGACGUGCUGGUGGUGACGGCGGACCCGGACAAGGAGCCGGCGUUGGGGGUGAUGAACACGGUGGUGUCGGCCAUGGCGCUGGACUACCACGGCGGGAGGCUGAGCGUGUACCUAUCGGACGAUGCCGGGUCGCCGCUGACGCUGAUGGCCGCCCGCAAGGCCUACGCCUUCGCCAGGGCGUGGGUGCCCUUCUGCAGGAGGCACUCGGUGCAGUGCCCGUGGCCCGACAGGUACUUCGCCGGCGACGACGGCCAGGAUGACGGCGGCGAUCGCUGCGGUGAGGCCGCCGAGGAGAGGCGAAGAAUGAAGGUAUCUGUGUAACGAUGAUGGAGCUAGCGUCAACAAAUUUUCUCAACUAAUGUCUUUUGUACGUAUAACUUAAUUUCUGUGCAGAAAAUGUACGAGACGUUCAAAGGGGACAUAGAGGAGGCCAGUAAGGAGAAGAGUAUUUCCAGGAGCUGGACGAAAGAAAAACGUCAGGAUCACGAUGCUUAUGUCGAGGUAAAUCCAAUUCAAUCAAAGCAAUUCCUGAUCAUCAGUUGAGUUGAAUUAACUAGCAGCUUCAUCUAUAUAUGUAAAUCUGUAUCUUGCAUGCAACCAAUUCAAUCCGCAGAUCAUCACCGCGGGCGAGGAGGAGGACGACGACCAACAGGGCGAGGAAACCAUGCCGUUGCUGGUGUACGUGUCCCGCCAGAAGCGGAGGGCGUCCCCUCACCACUUCAAGGCCGGCGCUCUCAACGCCCUGGUGCGCUGUCAUCUGCUUGUAUAAUUCCUUGUUGGUUAUAAUAAUAAUCCGCUCUCAACUGCUAAUAAAAAACUGAGCAUUGAUUCUAACCGGUCGGUUUUUGACACGAUACUAAUAUAACUAUCAGUACUAAGACUAACACGGAUCGGAUGACGACAAUGAUAUGAUCUGCUUGCAGCUGCGGGUGUCGAGCCUUGUGAGCAACGCGCCCUACUUGCUGGUGCUCGACUGCGACAUGUCCUGCAACAGCCGCUCCUCCGCCCUGGAGGCCAUGUGCUUCCAUCUCGACCGAUCCCCGCCGGCGCCGGAGAGCCUCGCCUUCGUGCAGUUCCCGCAGAUGUUCCACAACCUCAGCCCCAACGACAUCUACACCAAUGACCUCCGAUCCUUCUUCGCGGUAAUGUAUCAGACUCACUCGUAUGUUGAGUUGUUGACAUGGCCAGCUCUCAGCUGACAAGCGAUGAUCAAUUGCAUGCGUCCGGCAGACUCGAUGGAUCGGCCAGGACGGCCUCCGGGGCCCGCUCCUCGUUGGCACCGGCUUCUACGUCAGGAGGGACGCACUGUACGGGGCCAUGCCGUCCGCCGCCACCUCGUUGCCGGCGCACGGUGCAGAGUUCUCGUCCAUGGAGGCCGGCGAGCUGGUGAGGAGGUUCGGCCACUCCGACGACCUCAUAUCCUCCGUGCGCAACCUCCACCUGCAGAAACCACCUGCUGCUGGUCGCCAUCGUCGUCGUCUUCCUCGAGACGCGGCGCUGGUGGCCUCCUGCGCGUACGAGACCGGCACCGGGUGGGGCGACGAGGUGGGGUUCAUGUACCAGUCGGUGGUGGAGGACUACUUCACCGGCUACCGCCGCUUCUUCUCCCGGGGCUGGACGUCGGCCUACUGCUACCCGGCGCCCUCGUCCCGGCCGCCGUUCCUCGGCACCAUGCCCACAAACCUCAACGACGUGCUGGUCCAGAACAAGCGCUGGAUGUCUGGCCUCCUCGCCGUCGGCCUCUCUAGGCGCUACUGCCCGCUCACCUGCCGGGGGCUCCUCGCCGUCUCCGUGCCGCAGGCCAUGACCGUCGCCUACUUCGGCUUCCUUUCGCUCUACGCGUUCCCGGCGCUGUGCUACGCCACCCUGCCGCAGCUCUGCUUCCUCCGCGGCGUCCCUCUGUUCCCGGACGCCGC